CCCCCAGGGCACAUCUCCAAGUGGUAAAAGGGGAGGGUGGAGAAAUCCAGCUUUGCUUGAGGCUGCUGCGUCAAGGGUUCGAAUCCUGAAAUAUGGAUUUGGCUCUUGAGUAAGUGCAAGUGUACAAGCAGCCUUCCACCCUGUACCCUUGGAGGCAUAACCUGCGAUUUACCUCCCUCACGAUACUCCAGGGCAGGGGUGGUGGGGGACCCUUAAGGUUAGGGUUUAACCUUUUAAGAAAUGCCACAAGUUAUGUUCUAUCCGUAAUAACGAUAUCCGUAUCUCGUUAUUACUUACGACCAUGGACGAUUUAAAAUUGAAUUAUAUGUAAUUUGUAUCUCAUAAUCACAACUCCUUGCGAUUAACAAAUUACGAAAAUUUGAAUCUACGGAGUCUAUUAUUUAAUUUAAUUGUCUAUUAAUUAAAUAAUAGAUCUGACAUUAAAUAGCAUUAAUUAUAUAUUAAAAAUAUUUAUGUCCAAGGUUGAUUAGAUCUAGGGCAUAACACUUUCACAUGUUUCAUCCCUUAAAUGAUAUACAUUACAGAAGAACUUAUAUGCAUAUUUAGAGAAUUCCAUUGAUGCAUUGAACUAAUAAACGGAUCUCACGAGCCAAAAACACAGCAGAAAUUAUUGAAAGAAUGGAGAAGUAACUCUUUACUUAAUUCUGAAGAAAGUAACUUUUUCACAGCCAAACAAUAUUUUAGUGCGUGUUUGGCAAUGUUUAAAAUUUUAUGGAAGUGCUGAUAAUUUGUGAAUAUUGAGGUUAUCCCACAUCGGUUGUGGAUGUGGUUGGUAUUCAGUUUAUGAGUGUGAGGGAAGGCAUCACCUCUUGAGCUAGCUUUUGAAAUGAGAAAGGCCCAAUACCAUCCAACACUGGUAUCAGAGCCUGGUUUAUCAACAAGUUUUUGGCCCAACAAUCAUCUCCAGCCCAACAGUCACGGAGAUACGAUUUAUGUGAAGGGGAGACGGGUUCGGUCUUCCUCAUGCCUUUUAUGUAUGGGAAAGACGGGUUUGGUCUCCCACAAAGGCAGAUGUGUGGGAGGAGAUGUGUUUGGUUUCCCUCAAAAUCCGAUGUUUGCGGGGGAGCUUAUUGAGGUUAUCCCACAUCGGUUGUGGAUGAGGUUGGUAUUCAAUUUAUAAAUGUGAGGGAAAGCCUCAUUUCUUGAGCUAUCUUUUGGGGUAAGAGAUGCACAAUACCACCCAACAGUGAAUACCAUUGAAAGUGUUAGAAAAUAUGGGUAAUGGGUCACCCAUGUAAAAUGACCCAACCCACAAGUUAUUUAAAGGGUUGGAAUGAGUAAUAAGAAUUUGGAAAUCUACAACUCUCCAUAACCUCCCAUAGCUCCCAUAAAACCUCCAAUGUUUGUAUAGUAAUGGGGAGAGAAAAAAGAUGAUAAAGUGAAAUUCGUUUGGAAAAUCACUCAAAAAUAGAAAAGUGCCUAGAACCACAUAUAUGGCAUGAAAACUCACAAAAUUAGGCACUUAAAGUGUGGAUAAUAAUCUUUCUUCCAUUGUGAUCGGGAAUGGGACCAUUGGAGAACAAGAAAAUGCAAAUUUUGGAGUUUUGGAAUACAAGGUGAUUCAACUAUUUAAAAGAUCUUGGAAUUCAUCAUUUUGAGUCAGUUUCUUGACCCGAAAUUCAUGUUAAGGAAUGCUUCAAAUUCUUACUCUGGUAUCAGAGCCAUAAAGGUUGUUUCCCUUGCAUACUAUUUUGCUGUAAAUGAAAUUAUUAUGUUGAAAAAUGCAUAUACACCAUUUUCGUUGAAACUUGAAGAAUUGUUAGUGGCAUGUCAAGAAAUAUGCAAAUUAAAUUUCCAACAUUCUUACAUCAUAUCCCUUAUGUAGAUCAUAUCCGCAAAGUUUCGAAACUUUUAGUUUUAUAAUUUUGGAGAAAAACGAAAUCCAAUAUAUAAUUGCAGAAACUUUAAUAUUUACUGCCAUUUGUUCGUUCAUCUUCAUGCAGUAAAAUUAGCAUGUUUAAAAAGGUCUUCUUAUAAGCUUUCCAACCAUAUAAAAAACAUAAAUUUUGGACUUGAAACGAAGAAGUUAUAAGGUUUUGAAAUUUGGAUGAUAAUCUGAAUUUGCAUGAAAUUUGAUGAAUGCCUGAACUUCAUCACGUGAUAACUUUUUUAUACAUUAAGUUUCAUACUGUUCAUUUGCUGUGAUUGGAUAAAUCUUUUCGAGACCUUUCCAACGAUGUGAAGAUCGUUGAUUUUGAGUUGAAAUGAAGAAGUUACACCCUCCGAAAUUUGGAUGAGAAUCUGAUUUUUGUACGAAAAUUGGUAAAAUCCAAAAUUUUAUCACAUGAUAACUUGUUCUACACUACAUUUUAUGAUUCUCAAAAAAUUUUCAAUAGUACAAAGAUCGUUAAUUUUGGCCUUGAAAUAAAGAAGUUAUGGCUUCUUGAAGUUUGAUAAAAAAAAAAUUGAAAUUUUUGCAAGAUUUUUUUGUCAUUUUCACUCUUGGACAAAUCUGUUGCUAUCCUAAAUGUGACCUUAAAAUUUUGAUUUUUUUUUAAACAUGACAACACAGAUUAGCUCAGAACGUCGAAAUCAGUUAAGAUGACCAAUAUUUUUGAGUAUGACACGACGGUUCUGACCUUGUCCCAAUUUUUGAUUAUUUUGAAAAAAAUGAUUGCAGAUUGGUCCUGCAUGUAAGGAUAUAUGUGAGACCCAACUUCAAUUCUGAAAAUUGCAGAUUGGCCUCGAAAUUAUUCUUGAUUUUUAAGUAUAAACAAAUUAAUUAUUGGAUGGUUAAAAAAUUUUUUUUUUUAUUUAGGGCUUAAAAUUUGUUAAAAAUAUUUUUUUAAGCUAAUUAAAUUCCACUUUUUUUAAAAUCAAGAAUAUUUAUUAAGUGGUAUUUGUCUAAUGAGAGUUAUUUUUUGAAGUGUUUUGUUUUUAUGAAAUAUAAAAAUACUCCAACAGUAUUUAAAAUGCCACAAUUUAUACACGUUCCCAAGCUGUGUGGACUUAAUUAGGUUAUGUGAUCCAUUGUGACUUGCUUUCAAUUUUUGUGCUUGAUCAGUUAUUAUCAAUGCUAUGCACAUUUAUAACAUCCUUAGAGGAAAGGCUAGAGAAACAAGGGCUAUGGAACUUGUUAAAAAGUUACGUGCUUACUAAAAUUAAUAAAUGGAUUUGGAAUAUAACCUAGUGGAAUACGUGAAUGUUUUUGGGAUAUUUUUGGUAAGAAGCAGAAAUGAGAAUUCUAAUAUCACUUCCCAUUUGUUGGGAUUGUGUUGCAAUAGAUAUUAAAGCAUGGUUGACAAUUAUGAUAUAUGUCACAAUUGCAUAUUAUAAAAUUACAUUAUUGGAUAAAUGUGCAUAUUUAUGCCUUUAUUGCACAUUCUAGAAUUACAUUAUUAAGUUACGUGAUAUCCGUUAAUUCGUGUAUUGUUAUAAAUGCUAAAAUCAGUUGAAUUGGUGGGAUUCUUACUUAGAACUAUUGAUUGUUAGUUUGAUGAUUAGAAGAUUUAAAGAAAAUCUCAAAUAGAACUAUUUGAUUUACCAACUGAAUAGGAGUUCUCAUGUUGGAAGAAUUAAUGUAAUUCUCACUUAAAACCCAAGAAAUUUUGCGUUAUGAAAUUAAGUUUAUGAUAGUGAAACAAUAGAAAUGCGAUCGAUAAUUGGGAACAUAGUGAACUUUCAACUCUGUGCGUAAUGUUGAACUAUCGUAGAUGUUAAUUUACGUUAAUGCAAAAUUAAAUAUAUGCUUGAAUGGGCAUUGAUUGAGAAUAAAAGCCUCGAAAAAUCUAAUAGAUCAUGGCAUCAAAAUUUGUAGUAGUUAACCUUAAUGAAGGUGAUAAGCUAAAUGCUAUAACAUUUGGCAUGAUAAGAUUUUCAGUGUACUAUAAGAACGUGAUGCUUUCGAGAGUAUCAACCACGCAAUAGCAGACCUAACAUGGGUCAUGCUGCUCAAGAGAAUAAAUAUCGGAACUUUGUCAAGUACAGGAAAAGAUAGAUUCUAAUGCUUGAGCAUUUGAAUUAUUAAGUUCUGUUAUAGAUGAUUUUUUUUUUUUAAUAUGACUUAGUUGAGAUGGUUAACAUAGUGUUGACAAUUUUUGUUGAUCACAUUUUAUUUAGAAGAAUAGUAAGAUCAAACUAGUAUCUUUACAAUAGAUGAAAAUUUUGAAGGUCAGUGUGACUUACAAGUGAAGUGUCAAGUUUCUCUAUUGACACAACCCGUUGUUUAGGGGGCAAAAAGAGUCCAAGGAGACUAAACGUGUAGGGAGCCUUGCUCGAAAGGAGAAUGGAGAGCUCAAGUUUAGGGGGUAAAAAUGUGAAGCUGAAAAUUACAAAGAGUAUAAGGCUACAAGACUCUAUCGUGAACCAGCACUAUCUGUUCCUCCAUACAAUCUAGCUAAAGACUAUAAAUUUAGCGCUUAUUAAAUGCAACCCAAUUUCUUAUCAUUUUAUUUAUUAUGCUUUCAGUAAUUAUAUUGCUUAUAGUUAUUAGGUUGCAUUAGUUAUCGACAUGUUUCGUUUCAAUAUAUGGCAUCUACACUUAUCCUACAUAAGAGAAUAAUGUGGCAUGCACUUCAUGGUUUUAGGGAAGUUACUUAUAAUUAUUUUCUUUCACCCUUGAUAGGUACUUGGAUAUCAAGUGGAAAGAGCUUAUCAAUUUGAAUAAUGAAAUACAUUGUUUCAACAAGCCACUUCAAAAAUAUCAAACAUAAAAUUUGGGGAGUACUCUUUUGUUUUCUCUUCCCUGUCCCUUUAUAUGCUUACAUUGAGAAUAAUGUCUACUUUAAAUUUGAAGGUGAAAAGACAUUGAGUUUUUACUUUAUGUGUGUUGUUGUGUGUUUAUUGCUUUAUAUAUAUAGGAAAAAUACAAAAAAUUGAAAAAUUUUGAAGGGCGAUUUUAUUUUUAGUUUGCUUACUUGUAUGAAUUAGAUAGCAUGGUCGACAAUGAUGAAUAUAUUUGAUAUUAUGUGUUGAUUUUUGAACUGUGAAUAUGUUAUAUGCUUAGAUUGAUUGAUGAUUAUACAUGUAAGACUUGAUAUUAAUUGCACACGUGAAUUAAGUUAGACAAUGUGAAAAAAUGAGUUGAUUCAUAUGCUUGAUAGGUUGAUUUAGUUGAACAUAGAUGCUAUUCCCAAAUCAUACUAAAAUUCUUUAUCCUUAAGACCAAAAUUAGCAUAGUUGUAGGGGUGAUUUUACUAUUGUAGGAAGAUACAAAUAUGAAUUGGGAUUCUUCGUGUGAAAAAAUUAUGUGUGGAUUGUUAUAGAUUAAUGGGACAAAAUUGGAUAGAAGUCUUAAGUUGGAGGUCACUUUACUUGAAUAGUUAUUUGAUAAGAGACAUUGCACUAAUCAGUGCAUUAAGUUUUGAAAUUUGAAACUUCUCUUUGAAACGUUUACGACACGAGUAAUUAAGCCUAUAAGGGUAUUUAAAAUUUGGUGUCCUAAAGUCAUCUGACUUUGGAGUUAUUGACCUAAAAUUCGAUAAAAUAGUUAUUUAGAAAGCAAUUAGAGAAGAAGUUGCACUUGAAAUAAGAAUUAGUUUUCUUCGAAGCCAAUUACGUGCCAAUUAAAUUCUGUUUGAAAAGGCAAAAUAUUAUUUUUAGCGUAAUUGCUCUAAUACCAAUCAUGUGCUAAUUAAAUUUUGUUUGAAAAAUUUGUGGUAAAAGGUUUUAUUUUAUUUAUUUAUAGUAAAGUUUUCUGCCUAGAAAGUGAGGGAAAGUCUUUGUGCAAGGUUGAAAAAAUCUUUGAGUAAAAUGAAAAAGUCUAUCUACUAAUAAAGAGAAAAUGACAAAUCUUACCAAUUAACUAACAGAGAGUAGAGAAAGUCUUUGAACCAGUUAUAAAGUUUUCAAAUUAUAUGACCAAAAUAAAAAAUCUUCUAGCCUGUUUCAAAAUGUUUACUAAGCCCUUGUUUGAGCUUAAUUUUUGGGGAAGAAUGAAUUUUUGAAUAGUGUAUUGAUAGAAAAUGUGUGGUUAAAAAAUAAGGAAAAGUUUUGAAUUUGCGUGUAAUAUUAUUUUAUUAAAGAAUGUGUGAUUGAAAUGAUAUCAAAACACUAUUGAAAAAUGCAUUUUUCUAAAAGAUUGAGGCUCAAAGAGGGCUAAGAUAAGAAAAUCUUAAAAGAAAAUUUUUUUCUCUUAAAAAAAAUAAUAUAUUGAAGUAGCACAUUAUUAUUAAUGUUCCAGUAAGAUUUUACUUGCUCCCAAAAAGCAUAAUUAAAUAAAAUCUAACAUAAAUUAUUUUUUUAAUCCUAAAAAGUAAAUUCUUAUAGAAUUUAUUAUUUCAAACAAUAAUAUAUUGAUAUUAUUGUUCCUGAAAAGCAUGACACUUUAAUUCAAAUAUUUCAGAAGAAUAUUACUUGUGGACCUGUCUAUUACAAAUGUUUUCUUGCUCUUUAAAUAACAUAAUAUUAUAAUUAAUAUUCUUUUAGAAUAUUAUUUGUUCUAAAAGAGCAUGAUAUUACAAUUUCAAUAUUCUAGAAGACUAUUGAUCGAUUUUUAUAAAAUCAUGAAUUAAAUUACUAAAUUUAUUUAUGUGUUCCAUUCUUCUACAUACGUAUUUAUAUUCUAGUUAAAUUUUACUUGCUCCACAAGAGUAUAAUAAAUACGAUCUAAUAUAAGUAAUAUUUUUACUCCUAAAGAUGAAUUCUUACGUAACUUAUUAUGCUAAAUAAUAAUAUGUUAUUACUCCUGAAGAACAUAAGAUUAAAAUUUUAAAUAUUUCAGAAGAAUAUUGUUUUAUUGCCUUUGAAAAAGCAAUGAAAUAUUAUGUAUUAUCGAAAUAGCACAUAUCCCAAAUAAUAUAUAUAUGAUUAUAUUCCUUAAAAAACACAAAUGAAACAACUCAAUACUAGGUUGUAGUUUUUGAAAAGAAACUAAUUUUCUAUACUAUUAAUAUUUAAAAAGAAUAUUAAUUUACUCCUCUUGAAGGGCAUGAAUUAUAAUUUUCAAUAUUUUAGAAGAAUGUUGACAUUUUACUAUUAAAGAAUCGAUAAUAAAAUAUAACGUGCUCUUCAAAUAGCACAUAUUUUGAAGAAUAUAUUAUGUAUAAUUUAUGAAUUUUUGUUUUUUUUUUUUUUGUAAUUAUUAAAUUUUAUUAAGAAAACCUCACUUAUGGCAGAGGAAAGCUGAGAUUACACCAUGCAUUAAACAAAAAAUUACAUUAACGUCUCCAAUAAGGUAAUUGCCAACUGUCUGCACGCAAUAUUCCUCUAAGAAGAGUUGGAACCUCAUCGCCAUGAAAGAGAUCAAAAGAAGAGCCUCCAGUUGCAUUUUUUGCCAAAAAAUCAGCCGCCAUAUUGGACUCUCAAAAAACAUGAUGAAUUUGGGCAUUCGUCAACCGAAUCAACUUCAUAAUAUCUUUCCAAUACUUCCAAAGCCACCACAAGGAACAAGCACCUUUUUUCACCCAUUGGAAUAAGACCUUAGAGUCUAUUUCAAUGACAAUAUCCCGUAAUCCAAGGUCUUUACACAUAGAUAAUCCAUCAAGAAGAGCCCGAGUUUCUGCCACCAUAUUCGUACAUGAGCCAUAAUGAUGAGAGAAGCCAGCCCAGUAUGUUCCAUUAGAGUCACGAAGUAUUCCCCCUCCGCCAGCUAGUCUAGGGUUUCCUUUAGAUGCACCAUCUACAUUUAAUUUUAACUGUUUUCCAGAUGGCUUUUUCCACCUUAUCAUUUGCAACUUUUACUGUUUAACAUUGCUAAUAGGACAAUUUAAAGACUUCAGGCAAUGAACAUCACGAUCUGAGAUUUUGCUGACAUUAGAAAUCAGGCUAGCAACUUGGGAUAACAAACCUUUGAUGACCCAAAUAACUUUCUACCAUAUUAUGGGAGAUUCUUCCAUGCGAGCCCCACAUCUAAAUUUCCAGAGCGUCCAUGUGAUAAUAAGUGGUGUAAUAUCCCGAAGAAUUCCUAGCUGUGAUGCGCUAGAAGCACGCGCCCACCAUAAAUUCAUUUGGCCUCUCCAAGAUGAGACAUGUGGUAGUGAUAUAUUAAAAUGAAGUGCAAAAUAAGACCAUAUCUUUUUAGCAACCUCCCCAUUGCACAAAACAUGAUCAAUAGUUUCAAUCAAGGGGUUCACACAGCAUUCGCAUUUGGAGGCCAAAGGGAUCCCAAUAGAUUGGACCACAUCGUCAACUGGUAAGCAAUUCAAUUAGGCUCUCCAAGACACAAAAGAGAUCCUUUUAGGAACUCGAUUAGGCCACAACCAACACUUCCAUGCACAAGCCAUACCCUUUUUACGAAUUACCUCCCAAGCAGACUUAGUCGAGAAUAAUCCAUCCUUACUGGGCUUCCAGACAUAAAGGUCACGUCCCCCACGUAAUUUCAUAUUAAUCUGUUCCAUUGAGUAAGCUUGGUUUUCACCCAUUAACUCUUUUAGUCGAUUUCUGUUCCAAGUUCCAUCAGCCGUAAGUAGGUCUUUAAUUUUUAAUUGUGGUUCCUUCACUUCAAAGCCUGCAUCAGCUAGACUUUGAGAGCCAAACCAAUUAUCAUACCAGAAAUUUGAUGAACCAUCACGAACACGGCAAAAAGAAUUUUGCAACACAAUGGGCAAUGUCCAAACAAUUCCCUUCCAGAAGCGAGAUUGUGUAGGAGAUACUUUCAACAUAGCAAUAGUUUUAUUUUUCAUGUAUAUGGAUCCAAAAAAUUCAGCCCAAAAGGACCCCCCUUCCUACUAGCAUUUUCCAUGCAAACCUCAUAAAUAAUGCUUGUUGCACCUCACUGAAAUCAAGAAUGCCCAAACCUCCCUCCUCCAUAGGAUAGCAGAUUUUUCUCCAUAACACCCAUUUUCGCCUCCUAGAACCAUCUGUAGCAUUCUAGAGGAAAGAUGAAAAAAUACUGCUCAAUUCAUUAUGGAUGCGCUUAGGCAUUUUUAAUACCGACAGAACAUGAAUAGGCAUAUUACAAAGAACAUAUUUAAUCAAAGUAAUUUUUCCUCCGAAAGAAAGUAGGCGACCUUUCCAACUAGCAAGCUUCUUUUGAAUUUUAUCCAUAAGUGGUUCAAACAUCUUCUUUGUUAAUCGUCCAGUAAAGAGUGGUACUCCCAGAUAAGUAUAAGGCCAGACACCUUCCUUAAAACCCGAAUAGGCCAGAAGAUUUCUUUUACGUGUAACUGUGACAUGCUUAGAAAAGAGCAUAGAAGAUUUCUCUGGACUCACCAUCUGGCCAGACAUAGCCUCAUAAUGUUUAACAAUUGCAAGAAGAUUACAAAUCGAAUUUUUAUUGCCAUUAGUGAAAAGAAGUAAAUCAUCAGCAUAAAAUAAAUGACUCACCACCAUACUUCCAGAGUGAAAAGGAUGGAUUUGAUUUCUUUCAAAAGCCUGAUGGAUCAUUCUAGACAAGAGCUCCUAUGUGAGAAUAAAUAAAUACGGUGACAAUGGGUCCCCUUAGCAUAGGCCUCUAGAUAGCUUGAAGAAACCCCGAGAUUUACCAUUAACCAUAAUCGAAUAGACUGGAGAGGAGAUGCAAUUAAAGAUGAGAUUUCUCCAUCGAUCAGAGAAUCCCAACUUUUUUAAGAUCGCAAGCAGGUAACACCAAUUUACUCUAUCAUAUGCUUUGGCCAUGUCAAUCUUCAUUAAGAUGUUCCCACCUCUCACCUUUUUAUUGAGUCUCCGCACCAACUCUUGGGCGACAGAUAUAUUAUUGAAAAUACUUCUUCCUUGAAUAAAAGCAGAUUGUUCCCGAGAAGUCAACUUAUUGAGCAAAGGUACCAUCCUAGCCCUCAUAACUUUAGUUAAGACCUUGUAUACCACCGAGCAAAGACUAAUAGGCCUAAAUUUAGCAAAACUGUUAGGGGCCUCCACCUUUGGAAUUAAGACAAUAUUAGUAGCACCCAGAGCAGUAGUUAAAGGAGUGCCUUCAAAAAAUUAUGUAGCCACUGCAAGGAGAUCAUCUUUAACAAUGUCCCAUGCAGUUAUAAAGAAGCUUGCACUAAAACCAUUAGGGCCAGGGCCACUGUCUUUAGGUAUAGACCAAAGUGCAUCUUUCACUUCUUCCAAUUCUGGUGGCUUGCACAAAGAAAGAUUUUCCUCCAUUGUGAUGGCCGGAGUCAGGAGGGAAAGGUUAUUAUCAUCCAUAGAAAUAGGUGAGACUGACAAAAGCUCUUUGAAAAAUUGCACUGCACCCUCAUGAAUAUCAUCAACUGAUUUUAACACAGUGCCGUCCUCAAGAACCAUGUGUUCGAGAAUAUGGUUCUUCUUCUUAUUUUCAACCGAUGCAUGAAAAAAUUUAGUAUUACCAUCUCCCUCUUGAAGCCAUUUAAUGCGGGAUUUCUGUCUCCAUAGAAUUUCCUCCCUUUCAAGCCAAGCCGCAUAUUGAUUCCGACAUUGCAAUAGUUGGUUCUCGGUCGCCAAUGAGAAGCUAUCAAUCAAAGAGUUCUCCAAAUGGGUCAGUUUAUCUUCCAAAAAUCCAAUUUCUUGUUGCACCCGCUCAAAGACCUCGCGAUUCAAGACUUUAACGCCUGCUUUGAGGUCUGAAGUUUACGCCCAAGACGAACCAUAGGAGAACCAGUUACUUCCUUUUCCCAAAUUUGUGUCACAAGAGGCGAAAAUCCCUUAUGAAAACACCACAUCAGUAAAAAUCGAAAAGGUUGAGCAAAUUGCAAACUUGAGUUGCCCCUACAGCGUAGGACCAUAGGGCAGUGGUCUAAAGAUGUUCGAUCCAAAUACGACAUCGAAGCAGAUGGAAAUUCGUUCUUAAAAUUCUGGUUCACCAGGAUACGAUCUAAACGAGCCCAUAUCCGAUGAAUUCCUUGUCUUCCACUGCACCAUGAAAAUUUCGGACCAUCAAAAGGUGUAUCAAUCAAGCCUGUGUCAUUAAACUCCUGUUUAGCCAUCGAAGAUCAGUACACACCCCCAUGUUUCUCAUCAUUGGAUCGAACAGUAUUAAAGUCACCUCCUACUAGCCAUCCGUAACGUUCACUGACUAUCAGUCUCAACUGCUCCCACAAUUUCCUUCUACGCCUCUGAAAACAACUAGCAUAGACAAAAGAGGUAAGCACCUGGACGUUUCCCAACGAGAACCAUCCCGAGAUCAUUUGAUCCGAGGAACUAGUUAAAGAAAAUGAAAGCUCAUUAUUCCAGAACAUCCAAAUUUUGGCCCCUUCAGCAACAUUUGAAGCAUAGUGCGAAAAUCUCAAACUUCCAGCCCAACAUGCAAUUCUAUCAACCGACACAAAAGGUUCCAUUAAAACUAAAAGAGAAGGAUUAUACUAUUUUUUCAACUCCAUUAACCUGCCCUUAGAAGAUACAACACCCCUUAAAUUCCGUAUAAGUAUAUUCAUUGUUAAUAAGACUUUUUAGAUCUCGUGGUGACUCCUAUGGUCGCCUUUUUCUGAUUCCUUCCCCUUGGUCUAUUUAGAAGACAUGGUGUAUUAUGGUCAGAAUCAUAAUUAAGAACUUCUAAUUCAGGCAAUUCAUCGUCAUGCUCACCAUCAGAUUUAGUAUGGAUUGCCAUUUCAUGUCCCUCAUUCAGUACAAUUGUCUCAUUUAGAUCAAUUUGUGGAAGUCCUUCUCCUCUUAUCACUAAGUCAGCAAUAUUAUCCAUGACAUCCAAGACCAAGGCUUCGUGAACACCAUCAGCAUCACCUCUCAAAAUGGCUUCUUCAAGUAUAAUCAUUGGAACUCAUAUUCUCCUCCAUAUCUGAUGUAUAGGCAUCCUGGCCCAAUCAAUGCCAUUGGAUCCAUCCUUAUACAGAUUUGUUUCUCCACUUUUAUCCACCAGAUUUUUCUGUAUUACAGCAUUUUCAUUACUCUGACCACUAUAAUUGUCCACCAAAUUUCCAUUGUCCACGACCUCUAAAUUCAAAGCAACUUUUCCAUCAUUGCAAAUAUAUAAGGGCAACGCCGAAGGGAUCAAAACAUUACGCUGUAAAAUCCUUUUCCUUUUUUCUUCAUUUCUGGUACCCCACUCCUCAAUGUGGACAGCCUUGUCCGAUGCUAAACCAUUUCCCUCUUCCUUUCUCCGCCACACCUUUCUCGAGCCUUUAGGAUUAGUAACAGGGUGGUUAGGUCCAACCUUCUUGUUCAUCCUUUUACAUUCAUCCUCCACGUGACCCUGACUCCUACAUUGGUGGUAGUACAUUGGGAAUUUUUCAUAGAAAAUUUCUUGGCAUCGACUAGAUGGAUAGAAUGGAACACCCAACCAAAAAGAUUUCACUAGCGGUUUAGAGAUAUCAAUCUCCACACAAACACGAGCCCCAUCUGUGCGAGAAGCACAUGCCGUAAAAUUAUCCCGCUUCAAAAAUCGGCCAAAGGCAACUAUGAUUAUACGAAGCAUAGAUUCAUGGUAGAAGUGGAAAGGUAACCCAGGAAGAAAUACCCAUAUAGGAACCAGAGAUGAUUCUUGACCUUCGUCGAAAUCCUGGGACCAAAAUGAAGAGUCUAUACGAUGCACCAUCAAUCUCCGAGGAUUCUUCCGCACAUGCAAUGGCGAAGUCCUCCUCUGUUGUGAAUCGAAUGAAAACGUUCCUUGGUCGCUGCAUAGUACUGACAGAAAAAAAAAAAAAAAAAAAAAAAAAACCUUUGAUUCCCUAGCAGGCUUUGAUGAAUAGGCGAAUCUGGUCCAGAGUGGGUCUUCUCCUUAGAAACUUCAGCACAACAUAAUACCGGAAAGGAGAAGCCGUGUGGUCCAGUUCUGUUUUAGAAAAGUGAAACCAUAGGGAUCCAUCGCUCUCGUUCGGUUGUCUCAUAUCAAUCUUCAUUUCCGGAAUAGGUUGAGGCCGAGCCUGCACCAUGGAGGCGUAGGUCGCAUUUCCCACCGUGGUUGGCGGCCGAGGCGGAGGCGCCCCCGCCAUGCAGUCGGAUGUCCAAACGCAACAAACAAAGCCACCAAGAAAGAGGAAGUCCCACGUAAAAUCAUAUCAAUGCUGAUUUUUGAAUUGAAUUUGUGUUUAUCCCUAAACAAAAAUAUAUUAAUUAUGUCAUGUGAUUAUUGAUGAUUAUAUUGAACCAGAAAUUCAAUUUGAUUGGUGAUGCUACCAAAAAUCGUACCUGUAGAUUUUCCGAGCUUGAUGACUGAUGAUGAGCACGAACGUGAUCUUCCGAUACCUGAAACAAAGGCAACGAGGUGUGUUCUCGUCGCCCCUCCGAUGCUUAAGUCAGAAAGGGAAAUAUAUGCGUGAGGCUAUAUGCUGAAGAACAAUGAGAAAAACGUACCUGAAUAAUGGCCCAAGGUUCUGCUUUUAUAGGAGUAGGUAGUGUACUCCUAGUAGGAUUGUGUUGGUUGGAUGUUUUUAUCCAAGGGAAUUUCUAUUAUAAAGAAUGUCCUACUUGUAACGGAAUUGUUUGACAAGUGGUGUUAGGGUUGAUGUAGAAUCCUUGGGUUUUUAGGUUUGUUAGUUAGGUACCCAGGUCUUAGGAGGUACGUUGGUGGUGUGUGUCUCGAGGACUAUUCUCGAGGACAUUGAGGGAAUGUAAAAGUGUCCUCGAGGUAUCUCGAGGACUACAAUAUCUCGAGGACUUAGAUGACCUCGAGGACUGAAGAAGAGAAAUGAGGUGGGGGUAUGUAUUGAGUCCUCGGGAAUAAAUGCCUCGGGUGUAUCAAUAUUGGCAUAGUCACUGGCCCCCGUGCACUCGUCCUAGAGAUCGAGCUCUUAGGAUGGGGUGCAAAUGGGUUAUGUCAUUCCUCGAGCAUUUGUCGAGAAGUGAUGGCUGAUGAUAUAGGUCGAGAUAUGACCGUUGCAGAGAGUGGCUUGGAUUUGUGACACGUGUCUUCGUGGACGGUCGUAGAUAGCGACCUUUGGCCUCCCAUCAUUUUCACCUAUAAAUACUAUUGUUCUCACCUUCAUUUUUCACUUUUACCCACUGUAAAUCAGAGUUUUGCGAGGUCGUGCUCGAGAAAAACACUUUUGGGAACUUCUCAAGUCGUCGGGAAUUCCAGGUAAGGCUCAAGACUCUAAGUUAUUCAUAAGCUAGGUCUUAAGUUUCUUAAGUGAUGUCGAGUAGUGAGGGUCGAGAAUCUUCUAGCAGUUCUAGCAGUAGUGAGGACGUAGGGACCUCGAUAAUACCGACGGCUAUUCCCCUAGAGGCUACUCCCGAGGCCCAGGUUAAUAUGGUUUUUGAGUAUCCCGACGAGCCCUGUAGGCUUAAAGAGCACACAGUCAUAGCUGCAGCUAGGGAAUACGGUAUAAUGCCCAACUGCGAUGUUAGAUUCCCAGACCCCGAGGAUAGGAUUAUUCGAGCACGACGAGGGGAGUUUGUUAUUUUUAGGGAGACCAUUAAGGCUAGCUUUAGGUGGCCCCUUCACCCCUUCUUUAUUGCUCUAUUAGUCGAGCACUCCAUGUGCCCGGGGCAAUUAGUGCCCAACGCCUGGAGGAUGCUCGUUUACUUUUUUAUAGCAUGUAGAUACUUAGGUAUCGAGCCCAACGUUAGCCUCAGCAAGUUAGUGUUCGAGCUUAAGAAGCAUCCNNNNNNNNNNNNNNNNNNNNNNNNNNNNNNNNNNNNNNNNNNNNNNNNNNNNNNNNNNNNNNNNNNNNNNNNNNNNNNNNNNNNNNNNNNNNNNNNNNNNNNNNNNNNNNNNNNNNNNNNNNNNNNNNNNNNNNNNNNNNNNNNNNNNNNNNNNNNNNNNNNNNNNNNNNNNNNNNNNNNNNNNNNNNNNNNNNNNNNNNNNNNNNNNNNNNNNNNNNNNNNNNNNNNNNNNNNNNNNNNNNNNNNNNNNNNNNNNNNNNNNNNNNNNNNNNNNNNNNNNNNNNNNNNNNNNNNNNNNNNNNNNNNNNNNNNNNNNNNNNNNNNNNNNNNNNNNNNNNNNNNNNNNNNNNNNNNNNNNNNNNNNNNNNNNNNNNNNNNNNNNNNNNNNNNNNNNNNNNNNNNNNNNNNNNNNNNNNNNNNNNNNNNNNNNNNNGGCCUCUUGCCACAGGAAAGGGGCCGAGGAUGUCAACUCCCCAUUGUUCAAACGGGGCCGAACAGUUAAUGUUGGUGAGGUCCUCGGCUGGUGAGUGGAUAAUAUUGCCAAACCUCUGGCACUUAUCACAAUUUUUAACAUAUUCUGAGGCGUCUUUUUUCAUAGUCGGCCAGUAGUAUCCAUAUCGUACGAGUUUAAAGGCCAAGGCCCUGGCUCCUUGAUGAUUCCCGCACACACCUUCAUGAACUUCAGCAAGGGCCUGGGAUGAUUCUGGCCGAGGUCACAUGUGGUAUACCCGAGGCCCCUGCUCCGCCGUUGUCAGGGACAUGAGCUCGAGCUCGAGCAUCAGCCAUAAAACCCCCCUGGGGUGCUGGUGUAGGUGACGGAUGCGAAUUUCUUUGACUUAGCAGCUGAGUCAGUGUGGCGACCUGUUGUCUGAGCUCUUCAAAGGCUACGGUAGUGACGACUGCCGGCUGGGGCUCUGGCACUUCUGAUGAUUCCUCUUGAGGAACAGGGAUAUCCUCAGGAGGGGGUUGGUUUGGAGCGGAUGAGCUUGCGGGUGGAAGACCUGAUCGUGUGUUUACCAUGACUUUUGGUAGCGCUUCCCACAGACGGCGCCAAUGAUGCUACCAAAAAUCGUACCUGCUGAUUUUCCGAGCUUGAUGAUUGGUGAGGAGCACGAACGUGAUCUUCCGAUACCUGAAACAAAGGCAACGAGGUGUGUUCUCGUCGCCCCUCCGAUGCUUAAGUCAGAAAGGGAAAUAUAUGCGUGAGGCUAUGUGCUGAAGAACAAUGUAAAACGUACCUGAAUAAUGGCCCAAGGUUCUGCUUUUAUAGGAGUAGGUAGUGUACUCCUAGUAGGAUUGUGUUGGUUGGAUGUUUUUAUCCAAGGGAAUUUCUAUUAUAAAGAAUGUCCUACUUGUAACGGAAUUGUUUGACAAGUGGUGUUAGGGUUGAUGUAGAAUCCUUGGGUUUUUAGGUUUGUUAGUUAGGUACCCAGGUCUUAGGAGGUACGUUGGUGGUGUGUGUCUCGAGGACUAUUCUCGAGGACAUUGAGGGAAUGUAAAAGUGUCCUCGAGGUAUCCCGAGGACUACAAUAUCUCGAGGACUUAGAUGACCUCGAGGACUGAAGAAGAGAAAUGAGGUGGGGGCAUGUAUUGAGUCCUCGGGAAUAAAUGCCUCGGGUGUAUCAAUAUUGGCAUAGUCAAUUGGCAUGAUUAAUUGGAUCGUCAUUGGAUUAAUAAUGAUGGGAAAUUAAAAAUACAAAUGGACAUUUAAUGAAGUACCAAAAUAUUCUUGAAUUCAAUUCUAUAUGAUAUUUGUUUUCUUUCGUGAAAAAUUUUCAUUAACCAUCACUAACUAAAAUAUGAACUAAAUUCUCUAUAUUUCUAAAAAUUAAUUAGGGUGAUAAAUGGGACACAUCAUCCUUCACGUUGAUCAUAUAAAUAUUAUUUGUAUCUAAUAAAUUUGAUAUAUAUACUAAAUGAUUACAUGGUGUUCGCAAUCUAAAUUUUGCAAAAUUAAUGCUCAAAUUUUAAAUUAUGAACAUAAUUUUCAGAUUAUAUAAUCAAGAUUAUAUCUUGUUAAUGUUGAAGGCAUAAAUCUCAAUAUUUUAAUAAGUUUUAGCUCGAAUGUCGUUAAAUGGUUUAACACUAUUAUUUGUCAAAUUUCUCCAAUUAAUUGAGAACAAAGUUCUUCGCAAAUAUGUGGAAAUGCUAUUACGCAUCAUGCCAAUAUCAUAUUUCCCCCAUUAUAAUUAGCUUAUGAUCAGAGCCUAAUUUCUUCAUCAAAUUACUUAAUAGUGCAAUUAAUCCACCACAUUGUAAUGAGGUUAAAGGUAAAGAAUGUUGAAAAGAAAUGCAUAGUUUCAUUUCUUAUCUCAAAUGGGUGAUAUUUGAUAAUGCAAUUUACUGAUUAUCAAUUGUUAUUGGACAACCCUCUCAGCUUAGGGAGAGGAAUUAAGAAACUGAAAAUAAUGUACAAAUAUAUCAUUGUAUAAAUCCCAGCAAAAGAAUUCGAAUUAGAAAUUCAAAAGAUAAUUUAUUUAGAUGCAUUUAUUGACCAAAGAGAUCAACGAAUUCUCAAGCAUCAGUUUAAAAUGCUCCAAUACUAAUCGAUGUCAUAGGAGGACAAUUUAAUAGCAUUAUAUUUGAUAUAUCUAUGACACACCUAAAGCAUGAUAAUGUUCUAUUCUAAUACAAAAGGUCUCCAAACGAAAAUGGAGCAAUUAGCUAAAAUGGAUUCAUCAAAGAAGCAUUUACUCUUCAUGAGUAUUUAAACAUAACAAAUUAUAAAAACUCAGAAGAGGUUCGGGUCUGUGAAAUAAUUAAAUUUAAAAUAUCUUAAUAAGUUAUGUCAUUAUGAAAAAAAAAGAAUCGAAAAGAAAAAAUUUGUCAACAAUAAUUUUGCACAUGAUGCACUACAUCAUAUAAUGAGGAAUCAAAAUAACUGCAUCGAAAUAUAUCGAUCGAAGUAAUGAUUAACUAAUAGAAUAGACGUAUGUAGUGUAAUCGUCUUAGCGAAUAUAUGUUAAAGGAAGACUGUAAAAAUAACUAUGUCUGCCUAUGUGUUUUCAUAAAGAAAUUAAAUAAUGAAUUUGCAAUUGGAACUCUUGAAAAGCUCAACAAAAUAUACAUAUUUGGUAGUUUAUGUUGUAAUUUAAAUUUUAUUGGAACUAUUGAAAAGCUCAACUAAAUUACUGAUUAUUUUAAAAAUAAAUUUGAUAUGAAAGAUUUGAAAAAAAUCAAAUUUUGUCAUGGAUUGCAAAUUGAAUCCUUUCUAGAAGGACUACAUACAUGCAAAAAGUUAAAAGUCUUUAUAUGGAUGAUACACAUCCAUUGGCAUCAUCUAUGGUUACUCGAUCACUCGAAGUAAAAAAUGAUCAAUUUCGUCCACUUGAAGAUGCAGAAAGGAUUUUUGGUCUUGAAAUACCAUAUCUUAGUGGCAGCUGGAGCAUUAACUUAUUUUACAUAUUGCACUCGACCCAACAUAUCUUUUUCUGUAAAAUUCCUUGCAAGAUAUAUGUUUACACGUGGAGGAACAGUUAUAUCAUGGAAAUCUAUACAGUAAUCUUUGACAACAAUAUACAUAAAUUAUUCUGAAAUUAUUGCAAUUCUUAAAGCAGACCGAGAAUGUGUAUGAUUGAGAAACAUGACCUAUCAUAUCCAAGCAAAUGCGGGUUAAUUUCAACAAAAUAUGAUUCAACAAUUUCGUAUGAAGACAAUGCAACUUGUAUUGUACAACUCAAAUGAGGCUAUAUCAAAAGUGAUAGAACGAAGCAUAUUUCUCUAAAAUUCUUUCAUACAUAUGAGUUUCAGAAGAAUGACGACAUCAAUGUUCAUCAAAUUCGUUCAGCUGACAAUGUGGCUGAUUUAUUAAUAAAAGUAUUGCGGACAUCUACAUUCAAGAAAUUGGUUCAUGAGAUUGAAAUAUGUCGACUCAAAGAUUUUUAGCGAUCAAUAUCAGGGAGAGUAACUGUACUCUUUUUCUUCGCUCAGAUUUUAUCCCACUGGAUUUUCCUAACAAGGUUUUAAUGAGGCAUCACUUAUUUUUAAUACUUCAAAAUAACUGCAUUAUUUUCCUUUGUUUGAUUUUUUUUUUUUUUGGUCCUAUUAGAGUUUUAUCAAACAAGAUUUUAACGAGGCAGAUAUUUUGUAAUGUGUCGUUAAAGGGAAAGUAUUGUAAAUUGUAAGUUUAUUAGUUAAUGACAAUUGUAUCCCUGCAACUCCCAAAAUUAUUCCCGUUGUAUCCUUGAUUCUUCCCUAUAAAUACAGGGUUUUGAUUCUUAAUAAAAUACACACAAGUCUAUUGAGUUUUAUCCUUUUUUUCUCUUCUCUCUCUUUUCAUAACAGUCGUAUAUUUGUUGUGGUGUAUUUAUUAAAGAGGCUUCUUAAUUGUUGUGUGAUUUUAAUGUGGUAUACUAACUAAAUGUUGUGAUGGUAAUAUAAUUACUCGUAAAAAAUUUCCAAAAAUCGCUAGAACAUGCAGCCUGCAUGAAUAAAAAAUUAUAAAUAGAAAUAUAAAGAAAUAAAUUUACAAAUGAUGACAAAUUAAGCAAAAGCUUCUCGAAUUGUAGAUGAAGAUAUGUAUUUAUAUCUCCAAGAAUUAGGUCAAAAUUCGUGCCAUUUCCUCUGGGGGUAAGAAAAUCAUGAUCGGAAUAGCGGACCAAAAGCUAUGAAACUUGGGUGUAAUUGUUUUUCAAGAGGAGGUUGAAUAAAAUUAGGAAACAAAAACUUUGCUGGCCGGAAGUACGGCCGGAAGUACUGCACGAUCGCACACUACAAUUGACUAUGAUCACGUGGUUAUAACCUAUUUCACUUAUUGAAAUUGAAAACCCCGUGAAUUUCUUCUUUUGUUUAGCUCGAUUUCUUUUUAUUUGCAACAUAGGUUAUUCAUCUUUGAAUAUUUACAAUUUAGUCCUUCUCAUUCCACAAUUAUUCAUUACCCGAUGUAAGUUCUUAAAGCUUGUAAUUGAGUUCUCAAACUUUCUAAAUAUUGAAUUUACUCCCAAAACUUGUGAACUUCUUAUGAUUGUGCUCUUAAUUCUUCAAACUGAUCACGAGCAACUCGAAUAAUCUUCAAUUGCUCUUAAUCAACUCCAAUUAAACUCAAAAUCUCCUUUCUCAAGCCAUAUGCAUCCAAAUUGAAUUUUCUCAUACAAUUAACAUAUUUACACUAAAUUCAAUAAUGAUUCACUCACUCAAUCAUAAUUUGUCAAGUUUAGAAGCCUUAGAUAACUCUGUGAAAUGCACUUCUUGAAUAGCCAAAGCUAAUAAAGAAUACUAAUGAUGAAAUCCGAUUCUCGCAACACUUUUUCUUAAUCGAUCUCUUUUCAUCCAAACUUUCGUGUUUAAAGCUCAAAUUGAUUAAACUUAGCAAACACAAUAUCUGCCGGGAUGAAAACAAAACACAACACAAAUUGCAACAUACGAGAUUAUGUCACACGGUUCAAUUUAAGUAGACAAGAUCUGCCAUCAAAUCCACAACAUUCCAAGAGUUCCGCCAAGUAGUUCUUCGAAUGGGAGACGAAGAUCCCUAGCAUUUGCAGCGUGAGCUCAAGAGUAGCUAAAGUAGCACAAAAUUGCAAAACCAAUGAAAAUUUCAAGCAUUUUCGCAUUUUGGGAUUUUUGAUAUAAGGUUUAGUAGUUAAGCAAACCUUGAGCAUUAAUAAGAGCAAGUAGUUCUGACGAGAUUAUGCCAUGCUGCCCUUGGGAUAAAGACUGUCAAAUAAGUAUAACUUAUAUUACAAAAAACUGUGUUCGAUUUGUCCUAAAUAAUCUGUAUUAUACAAAGUAUUUGGUUAAUGGAUACAUAGCAUUCAUACGAUGUUAAGAAAUAUUAUAUGAGCGUGCAACUACUUGAGUAGAAACAAAGAGCCAAUCAAAAAUUGAGAUUGUCCUCAGGAGACGCCAAGAUCGAUUAACUUAACUACCUAAGUGAGAGGUCUGAAGAGUAACCCCCGGUGGCUAUUCUCAAAAAAACAAAGAGAAAUUUGGUGAGCUGCCUUACCUAAGCUAACCACUGGUCUCAAGUUACAAGCAUCAGGUAUGAUUCGGAGAAGCUGGUUGCAAAUUUUGAAUCAUAGUCAGGUGAAGCUGAACUUCCCUUCUGGCCGGCUACUGAAUAUAAUAGCCAAAUGUCGACUGAUCAUUGACAUUUUUAGUCACAAACCUUUACCUCUACAGGAAUAACAAAAAUAAGAAAAAUGAUCAAUUAGUGUCUUUGUCGCUUCUGGGAUGGCACCGAUGCAGAUUCAACCUGAACCAAAAUGCAAAAUUAACAGAAAAUCAGAAAAAAAUUACAAGAAAAAAAUUGAUAAUAAUGUCAGAAGUGAAAGAAAACAAUGUACUUGUUUAUUCCAAUAUUAAACAUAUAUUACAACCUUCACUGUUCCCAGGAAUACUGUACCAUAUAGUUGAGUGCCUGUUUGGUAUUGAUUUUUCACCCCCAAAAAAUUAAUUUUUUUACCGUUAUUUCACUAUUUAGGCCGUCAUUUUUUACUUCUUCUCUCAUAGAUACGACCCACUUCUCUCCAACGAUCAAAAAUUCAAUUCUCAAAAUCACUAUCGAACAAGCCCUAAUAUUGCUUUUGUUUCAGUCAGAAAGUACAACAAACCAUUGAUUUGCCAAGUGAAACAAAAUCGAUACUAAAACUUAGACACACAUAACACAGUAAGUGUAUGUUUGAUGUGCAGUAGGACAAAGUCCUAGUAUCUAGCAAUCAAUUCAAGAGAAACAGAAUCAUCCUGUACAGAUCAUUAGGCUUCUCUACUUAACAUCAACUCGCGUCAACCUGAUGCAAUGUCAAAUAUGAAAAUGACUUAAGUAGAGAAUAUUACAGAGCUCGACAGUUUUUCACUGAUGUAGGUCAUUGAUCUCAACAUUGCAUCCAGAGUGUCUCUGCUAAGCUGAAACUUCACCUCUAUUUCUGUUGGAGGAGACUUCGAGAAAUCUUGCAGCUGUUAAGCGGAAUUGACAUUGUAAAGAGAGGCAAUGAGAAAGAAUAACCGUUCACCCAAAAAUUAUGAUUCUUUAAAAUAAGAUGUCACAAAAGGAAGUGCAUUGGAGACCUUUUCUGCAAAACAUGUUAAAGUAAUGCAUCCACACCCUAUCAGUGCCACAUGGGAAUAUCAAAAUUUACUGUAGCAAUUUCAAUAAGAUAUAAGGUAAUGUAGCUGAUGUCAAAAACCUUUAUUCACUACAAAUUAUCUUGUGCGUUUUGAGUUUUGUUUCUAACAAAUUUGGAUACAGGCGAUUUACUAUAAUCUAAUAAUAGUAUCAUUUUCUGCUAAGAUUGAAACCUAUUUGUAAUUUUCACAGCUGCUUGUUUGGUUGGACAUAACCCAUUUUAGUUCAUGCAUUUAAGCUUGGAUAAUUAGCAUACCUUAAGAGUUAUAAUAGCCACUCGAUUAGCUGGCAUCUUGUUUUUAUUGUCCACAGUCCAAGCCAUAGACUUCAGUUGUGGAAGAAUUCCCUACAUCGAGAUAAUAUACACAUAAAUACUAGUUGGCAUAAAAAAAUUUAUUCCCAAGUGGAUAAAGGGUGGAAUGGAAGGAAAAUGUAUCCCUAUCUGCUAAAUUAGCAUAGAGACACCAAACAUUGAAGUGCAGAAGGCAAUCAAAAAUUAAACUACUUAUUUAUUGCAUAACAAUACGUCUGCAGGGUUGACAUCAUUUUGAAGUGGCACUAGUGAAGAGUGUGAGACAUUGAUUGACAUAGGACCUCCAACAUGCUGACCAUCAGAUUGAGGGACUGGAUUAACUUGCCGAGACCAUGAUGAUCCACAACCUUCUGAAGAAACAAAAGAUGAUAAAGGUGGUGGCAAGUCGGUAUUAACUCGAUGCAAACAUCCAGAACUUCCUAACAGAUGCUGCCAAAUUCACAGAAAAAUAUUUCAGAAAUAUUGAAACAACUCAGACCAAAGCAGCAAUAAUAUUUUCUAUGUGACCCUAGUAUCAGCGUUGGAUGCCUGGGGAAACCCAGGGGCAAGGUCCCAUAUGCAUUUGCAAAUUCACAGUAUCGCCUAUGAAUUUCAAGCAAUUUUCAUACACCUCAUUUAAAAUCUUGAGAAUUGGUCCCCCUGCUCAUUAAAUUUCCAUUUGUAGGAUAUUGAAAGUCAAUUAAGCUACUUCUCUAUGAAUAAAAAGGUAAGGAGUUUUUCAUAUUGUGAUCAUGCUUCAUGUGUAUAAACACAAAAUUAAAAUUAUUUGCACAAGAAUGCAAUAAAUAGCAUCUAAUUUUUAUGACAUCCUGGAAAAAUCACACCUGCUCCUCUGACAGCUCCUGCUUCCACUGGCUCUGAUAUUUUUGCAAUGACAUUAGAAGCAUGCGUUGAAGUUCGAGAGGAAGAUUAUGUGGAAGCAGCUUCAAAAUACCAUCACCUUCUAAGUUCUCAUGUACACAUUUUCUGAUAAGUGAUCGAACACAUGCCAAAACCUAAAGCCAGAAACUUAUUAUAGGUCAUAUUGUCACCACCACAAAAACACAAUUUCUAUAUUCUAAAACCUAAGCAAUAAGUUCAGAUUUUCAACUGAAAGUGGAGAUUUGGGAGUUGUUAGGGAUGAAUAGCUCUAGCUAGAUCCAAGCAAUCGAGCAGUACAUGUAACCACGCUUAUUCUGAGAACGUAGCCCCUACGUGACCAAGUGCCACCAAAUCUUAUCCAAAUCUGAAUGCUUAAGUGUAGCUAGAACCAAAUCGAAGAAAUACUGACUGGACUUGAGGGAAGUAGAUAGGUAAUUGAAAACUAUCAAAAAGAAAAUCACAAGAAAUCAGCCACCAUAGUACUGUUCGUUUGACUGCAUCUUAUCUCUAAAUAUUAAAAAUUAAACCACGAGUAAAAGAUAGAUGAUCACAGAAGAUAUAUAAUUCACAUAUCCUUCANGCUUCAAUAAUAUCAAAGCACCCACCUUCGUACAAAUCCAGCAAUUUCCGAUUGCCACUAUGCACAACUAUCAAUUAAACAUGAAAAUUAUACUUUUAAUCUAACGACACCAUAAAAUACCUAGGUUCUUUUUAGGUGAGCACGAGAAACCGUUAAUUAUAUUCAAAUAUUACUGAAUUGAUUUUUCAUGAACCAAGUAUAAUUAAGUGGUAAGGGCACAACAAUGGUAGAACAGGGUUCAACAAUUACAUACCAGGUCGAGGUCGCCGAGAGAUGGGACUUUAAGAAGGGACAAGUGGACUGAGGAUUUGUCGGAAGCAGAGAGACCAGUCUUGCGAGUUUUCCAAAGGAGAUUGAGAAAAUUUUCCAGUUCUUGUUCGGAUUGUAAUGCUGUUAGCUUGUGCAAUUGUUUGUACAGCGUCGUCUUGUCUUCGGAUACCAUUUUCUUUUGGCUCUUCGUCUCUCUCAACUCAAAUUCCUUUUUCUUUUUUUUCUUUUCUUCUGAACGGAUUCAGAUGGUGCAGUGCACCAACGGCACAGGAUAAUUUGAUUGGAAAAGGACGGGGGGAAAUGAGUUGGGAAGGCCUUUCCUAAUGCACAUUUUGUUCAAUCGGCUUUGAUCAAAGUUAUAAAUUUAAAAAGUGCUUUAAUUAUUAAAAAGUGUCAAAGACUUCUUUACCCUUAACUUGUAAAACAAAAAUGAAGUGAUUGAAGUUUUUUUCUAAAUUUGCUGUGAUUUGAACCUUUGAUGUCAAUAAAAUAUUUUAACAUCACAACUAUUACGGCAAGUUAUGGUCCCCUAUUUUUUGUGAGCAAAAUAUAUAUAUAACAUUUCAAAAAAUUGUUUCAUUUUCACUUCAAAAAUAAAUUUUAAUUAAAAUUACAAUUUAACAAUAACCCACUAGUUGAAUCAUUUACCCAGUGUUUUUUUUCAAGUCAAGCAUUGGGUUGGCUCUGAUAACUAUGCAUUCAUGUUCUAACACAUAGCAUUCUCUUCCUUUAAAUUCAAAAAAUAUUCCCCUUCAAAAUCUUCUCGUUUAGAAAUCGAACUUUUUUUUUUAAGUUUAAGGCCAUCUCUUCUUCAUAAUUGAUCUUCGGUACAUCCAAAGUUUUAACAUUGUCCACAACUUAGCAACUAGUCAAAAAUAAUUACUGAGUCAUUUAUUUAUUAGACACCUAUUAUAACACAUGAAAUUUUUUAAAAUAAAUUUUAUCAUUAUAUUUUUAAAAAAAUGGACAAAAAAAUAUUUUUUAAAUUUCUAUCUUAUUUAGAGCCCAAUAAUUAGAUUUUAAUAAAAAGCGAUGUAGUAUAUCGAUAUUGGACUCAUUUUAAAGUUUGUAAUAAGAAUUAUUCGAAUCGAGAAAAAAUUGAUUCAGGUAAACCGGCACCAAGAUAUUGCAAUUUGAAGAAAUCGUAAAAUAUAACUUAUCAACUUAAUAAAAAUGUGGAAUGGAAAUAAGCUGCUGACAUUGUUUCACUGAUUUGCAUAACAACGUUGAAAUCGUUCUUGAAAUAUAAAACGACUUCGAUGUCGUUUUAGUAUCGAAUACACUCUACUUGACUGAUUUGUAUAACGACAUUUAACUCGAUCCUGAAAUGCAAAAAAUGAUGUAUAUGUUGUUUCGAUAUCAAACACACAUUGUUUCACUGUUUAACAGGUUUAGGCGCAGGCUAUGGAAUAAGUAAACAACGUUUAUGUCGUUUCAAUUCAAUUUUUGAAGACAAUGAUAUCAUUCCUAUUAAAUCGUAACUAUAAUAUCAUACAUAUCGUUUUGGGAGUGGUUACACUAGAACAUUAUAACUAUGAUAUUAAAUGUAAUUGAAAUUUACAUAUUUUCUUGACUUUUUAUAAUUUUCAAGUUUACGAAUUAUACAUGAUCAGAAUGUGAACAUUGUGCAUAUUCAUGUAACAAUAUAUUCUUCGUUACGGUGACACAUAAAGCAGUUGAUGUCGUUGUAGUAUAAAAUGCUCUUAUUCUAAUAAUGACUUCGAAAUUUUCCUUUAGGUACAAAAUAAUAACUAGAACGACAUAUGCAUCGUUUCUUUUCAAAUUUAACAAGUUUGAAAUCAUUACAGUUUAAAUAAUAAUUAGAACGACAUAUGAUGACCGAAAGAAGGCAUCAAGUGAAUUGGUAGCACUCGAAUAGCUCAGAAAGAGCGAAUGGAGAUAUUAUCUUUCUUUUUGUUGAAUGAGAUUGAACUCAUUUAGUGACUUAUUUUAUCAUCUUACGUAUAACAAAUAUACGUCAGGUGACUGUGGACGAUCGAAUCGUCGUUUUUAUAAUUAUCGUUUUAGUUAGGAUUUAAACCAAAACGAUAUCAACGUUUUCAAAUUUGAACUGAAACGAUAAUAGUAUCGUCAUGUAUCAAACCCACAAAAUAAGACAACGACAUCCAAAUCGUUAUAGCACAAAUUUAAUAAGUUUGAAAUCAUUCUAAUUCAAAUCACAAUGAUAACAACAUAGAUAUCGUUUAUUUUCAUAUAAAACGAUAUUUAUAUCGUUCUAACUAAAUAUAAAGAUUCGAUCGUUCACAACCGCCUGUUAUGCUUUCAGCAUACGCAGAACGAUUGAAAAAUGUCGUUAAGUGGAUUUAUACCACUCGAAUGACUUAAAAAGAUCGCACGAAAAUACUUUCCGCCGAAAUAGCACGAAGGUGGUAUACAAUCAUGAGAACAAAAAUGUUCUCAUAAUUUCUUUUGAAGGAAAUCGAACCCACUUGAUUAUCUAUUUUGAUUAUCCUACAUAUGUCAGAUGCAUGUCUGGUGGUCGUGGACGAUCGAAUCGUUAUUUUUAGCACAAACGAUAUAAUUGUCAUUUUUAGUUUAACUGAAACAAUAUGUUUGUAGUUUUAGUUAUAAUUUAAGCUAAAACGAUAUCAAUGUCGUCAAACUUGUAUUAAAACGAUAAUGAUAUCGUUAUAUAUAAAAAUCACAAAUAAAGUAACAACAUUCAUAUCGUUUUAGUACAAAUUUGACGAGUUUGAAAUUGUUUCAAUUCAAAUCACAAGUAUAACGACAUAGAUAUCGUUUCUUUUCAUAUAAAACGAUAAUUAUAUUGUUCUAGCUAAAAAUAACGACUCGACCGUCCACAAUCACCCAUCAUGCCUUCAGCGUACGUAGGAUGAUCGAAAGAGGUCAUCAAGUGAGUUGACACCAAUUGAAUGACUUAAAAAGAGUGAACGAAAAUACUUUCUAUCGAAAUAUUACGAAGGUGAUAUACAAUCUUGAGAACAAAAAAGUUCUCAUAGUUUCUUUUGAAGGAGAUCGAACCCACUUGAAUAUCUAUUUUGAUCAUCCUACAUAUGUCAGAUGCAUGUCUGGUGGUUGUGGACGGUCGAAUCGUUAUUUUUAGUACAAACAAUAUUAUUGUCAUUUUAUUUUAACUGAAACGAUAUGUAUGUAGUUUUAGUUAUGAUUUGAGCUAAAACGAUAUCAAUGUCGUCAAAUUUGUAUUGAAACGAUAAUGAUAUCGUUAUAUAUCAAAAUCAUAAAUAAAAUAAUGACAUUCAUAUCGUUUUAGUACAAAUUUAACGUGUUUGAAAUCGUUCCAAUUCAAAUCACAAGUAUAACUACAUAGAUAUCGUUUCUUUUUAUAUAAAAAGAUAAUUAUAUCAUUCUAACUAAAAAUAACGAUUCGUCCGUCCACAACCACCCGUCAUGCCUUCAGCAUACGUAAGACGAUCGAAAGAGGUCAUCAAGUGAGUUGACACCAAUCAGACUUAAAGAGCGAACGAAAAUACUUUUUGUCAAAAUAGUACGAAGGUAGUACACAAUCAUGAGAACAAAAAAGUUCUCAUAGUUUCUUUUGGCGAAGAUCGAACCCACCUGAAUAUCUGUUUUGAUCAUCCUACAUAUGUUAGAUGCAUGUCUGGUGGUCGUGGACGGUCGAAUCGUUAUUUUUAGCACAAACGAUAUAAUUAUCGUUUUAUUUUAACAGAAACAAUAUGUAUGUAAUUUUAGUUAUGAUUUAAGCUAAAACGAUAUCAAUAUCGUCAAAUUUGUAUUGAAACAAUAAUGAUAUCGUUAUACAUCAAAAUCACAAAUAAAAUAACUACAUUCAUAUCGCUUUAGUACAAAUUUAACGAGUUUGAAAUCGUUCCAAUUCAAAUCACAAGUAUAACGACAUAGAUAUCGUUUUUUUCAUAUAAAACGAUAAUUAUAUCGUUCUAACUAAAAAUAACGAUUCAACCGUCCACAACCACCCGUCAUGCUUUCAGCAUACAUAGGACGAUCAAAAGAGGUCAUCAAGUGAGUUGAUACCAAUCGAACGACUUAAAAAGUGCGAACGAAAAUACUUUUUGUAGAAAUAGUACAAAGGUGGUAUACAAUCAUGAGAACAAAAAUGUUCUCAUAGCUUCUUUUGAGGGAGAUCGAACCCACUUGAUUAUCUAUAUUGAUCAUCCUACAUAUGUAAGAUGCAUGUUUGGUGGUCGUGGACGGUCAAACUUGUGUUGAAAUGAUAAUGAUAUCGUUAUAUAUCAAAAUCACAAAUAAAGUAACGAUAUUCAUAUCGUUUUAAUACAAAUUUGAUGAGUUUGAAAUCGUUCCAAUUCAAAUCACAAGUAUAACGACAUAGAUAACGUUUCUUUUCAUAUAAAACGAUAAUUAUAUCGUUCUAGCUAAAAAUAACGAUUCGACAGCCCACAACCACUCGUCAUGCCUUCAGCAUACGUAGGACGAUCGAAAGAGGCCAUCAAGUUAGUUGAUACCAAUCGAAUGACUUAAAAAGAGCGGACGAAAAUACUUUCUAUCAAAAUAGUACGAAGAUGGUAUACAAUCAUGAGAACAAAAAUAUUCUCAUAAUUUCUUUUGAGGGAAAUCGAACCCACUUGAUUAUCUAUUUUUAUCAUUCUGCAUAUGCCGGAUGCAUGUUUGGUGGUCGUGGACGGUCGAAUCAUUAUUUUUAGCAUAAACGAUAUAAUUGUCGUUUUAUUUUAACUAAAACAAUAUGUAUGUAAUUUUAGUUAUGAUUUAAGCUAAAACGAUAACAAUGUCGUCAAACUUGUAUUGAAACGAUAAUAAUGUCGUUACGUAUCAAAAUCACAAAUAAAAUAAUGACAUUCAUCUCCUUUUAGCACAAAAUUGACGGGUUUGAAAUCGUUCCAAUUCAAAUCACAAGUAUAACAAUGUAGAUAUCGUUUCUUUUUAUAUAAAACGAUAAUUAUAUCGUUCUAGCUAAAAAUAACGAUUCAACCGCCCACAAUCACCCAUCAUGCCUUCAGCAUACGUAUGGCGAUCGAAAGAGGUCAUCAAGUGGGUUGAUACCAAUCGAAUGACUUGAAAAGAGCGAACGAAAAUACUUUCUGUCGGAAUAGUUCGAAGAUGUUCUCAUAGUUUUUUUGAGGAAGAUCAAACUCACUUGAUUACCUAUUUUGAUCAUCCUACAUAUGUCAGAUGCAUGUCUGGUGGUCAUGGAUGAUUGAAUCAUUAUUUUUAGCAGAAAUUAUAUAAGUAUCUUUUUAUUUUAACUAAAACGAUAUGCAUUUGGUUUUUGUUAUGAUUUAAGCUAAAACGAUAUCAACGUCGUCAAACUUGUAUUGAAACGAUAUUGAUAUCGUUAUGUAUCAAAAUCACAAAUAAAGUAAUGACAUUUAUAUCCUUUUAGCACAAAUUUGACGGGUUUGAAAUCGUUCCAAUUCAAAUCACAAGUAUAACGAUGUAGAUAUCGUUUUUUUCCCAUAUAAAAUGAUAAUUAUAUCAUUCUAGCUAAAAAUAACGAUUCCAUCGCUUACAAUCACCCAUCAUGCCUUCAGCAUACGUAGGACGAUCGAAAGAGAUCAUCAAGUGGGUUGAUACCAAUCAAAUGACUUGAAAAGAGCGAACGAAAAUACUUUCUGUCAGAAUAGUUAAGGUGGUAUACAAUCAUGAUAACAAAAAUAUUUUCAUAGUUUCUUUUGAGUGAGAUUGAACCUACUUAAUUACCUAUUUUGAUCAUCUUGCAUAUGUUAGAUGCAUAACUGAUAGUCGGGGACGGUUGAAUCAUUGUUUUUAGCAGAAACGAUAUAAUUUUCGUUUUAUUCUAAUUGAAAUGAUAUGUGUGUAGUUUUAGUUAUGAUUUAAAUUAAAACGAUAUCAACGUCAUCAAACUUGUAUUGAAACGAUAAUAAUGUCAUUAUGUAUCAAAAUCACAAAUAAAGUAAUGACAUUCAUAUCGUUUUAGCACAAAUUUGAAGAGUUUGAAAUCGUUUUAAUUCAAAUCACAAAUAUAACGACGUAGAUAUCGUUUCUUUUCAUAUAAAACGAUAAUGAAUCGUUCUAGCUAAAAAUAAUGAUUCGACCGUCCACAAACCACCCGUCAUGCCUUCAAUAUCGUUAUGUUGUUCAAUGCACUUUUUUUAUUGGAAGGGACAUCUAUAUCGUUUUGAGUUUCAGGAACGGCUUCAAUGUCAUUUAUGGAAUGGGUGCAUUUUUGUAUUAGAAUGACUUAUAUAUCGUUUACGUAUAGUCAUAACGACUUUUAUGUCGUUAUCAAAAUAAGUUACAGUGUAUAUUUUCAUAUUGAAAUGAUAUAGAAAUUGUUUUUAAUUACAUGAACAGUUUCAAUAUCGUUAUGUUAUUCACUCUACUUUUUUGUAUUGGAACAACAUCUAUAUCGUUAUGUGCUUCAAGAACGAUUUCAAUAUCGUAAUUAAAAUCAAUGUAUUUUGUACUAUAAUGAUCUUAAACACUUUGUUUCAGAAGGAAGAAAAUGUAUAUCGUCAUUAGAUUGAGUGCAUUUACAUCAACUGUAACUAUACGAAUGUCGUUGGCAUUUCAAAAGUGAAAAAGUGUUUCAAUAGCACAAUGACUACAAAAUUAUAAAGUUACAAGUUAGGACAAUAUUACAACCUUAAUUUCAGACGAUUAUUACUCGAGAACUUUAAGAAUCAAGAAUGUUUUGGGAAGAAUUUAUAAAAGUAGAAAUGAACGGUCGAUUAAUAUAGUCUUUAUGGAUCCAUUGAAUAAUUUCGAUCAUUUAUAAUCUUAGCACUGUUACAAACUUAGGAACUUUGAUUAUGAAUUAUGAUGAGAAGCUAGGAAGUUCGCCUUGUUUAUAAGCCAGCCAUUACAUUAUAGUUUCUAUCGUACACACAUAUAUACACACGCUUUUCGACCUAUAUCUUGAUGAAACUGAAGGAAUAAAUUGCUUAAGAUGCUGGACCAAUUGUUUCUAUGUAAACAAGUCAUUCACCAGUAGCACCUAAAGAAAAAGGGGAAAAAAACGAGGUUCCCCAUUUUUCUUUGACCUGUUAUGUCCAAUUCCUCUUAGAGCAAAGUUGAGUAAGUCCGUCCCUCAAGAGAGCUGUAGUACGAAAUCACAAAGUAAACAUCCAAGUUUCUGAAUCUUUAUAUUGAAAGCAAGUAAAUGAGCAAGAUAGCACACGCUAUAAUUAUGUAGUUUGCAGGAAAUAAUUCCAAAGCAAUUAUCCACUAUAUAAAUAAAAUAAUAAAAGAGUAUGCUCCAACAGAAGCCAAGGUACUAGUUUCUAUUCCAAGGUAUUGGUUUGUUCCAUCUUAUUUGGGAAUAAAAACAUGUAGUGCACUGAUAUAUUAUGAUUGUACUCGUAACCAUUUGAAGUUGUGAAUAGAUUCUUUAAUCAUUCGAUUUUUCCAAUUAAAUUUCGAAAUAGCUGUGAAUUGAUGUUCAACACCUCUUUGACUUUAUCAUAUAAUUCCACAUAAGAAAUAGUUUUCGCAACAAGAAUAAGAGUUGUUUUUCCUUUGCCAUUCCUUGCAUAUUUCCAUUUUUACAAACCUUCAAUCAACUGUUCAUAUUCAACUGGAAAAUAAACUGAUAUCCAUACCAUAUUCGUGGUGUCCAUAACUGUAAUUCAAGAUAAAAAGUUCAUCAAAUUUCAAAAAUUGUACAGUACUGAUAACGAAUGCAAGUCGUUACGGAUUGCAGAAAAUGACAUGUAAGUCGUUAUGUACAGACGAAAAUUAAAUGUAUGUUUUACAGCAGACCAAUAAAAAAAAUAGCCAAACAUACUUUUGUAAACUUACAUUUUACUCUAAAUGAUACAAAUGAUGGGUAAUGAGAAAAGGGUUUGGAAGUAACCCAUAUCAAAACUAUAAUCUAAUGAUAAAAUUAAUUCAAAAUCAUUGUUCACAAAUAAAAAUUAUAAACAUAUAUACAACAACAUGAAGAAAUUAUUCAAAAAAAAUGGACAAAGAAACUAACCCUAAAAUUGAAAAUUACAACACCCCCUUCUUCGCCAAAUGCCCAACAAUAAUAUUACAAGAUUUUAUUACUCACUUCAACCAAAUGAGUGUUCAAGGAAAAGGGAAUGUAGAGUUUAUGGUUUCAUUAAAUAGAGAAAAAUGAUGAUGACAAAGAAAGGAAUUACAUACCUCUACAGUCGAUUUUUUAAGAACAAAUGGAAGAUAGGUAGAACUUAAUUGGAGUCAAAUGGGAAUUAGGGUAGCAAUGUCUUUUUUUGUAUGUAAGGUCAUUUUAGUCAUUUAUAAAUUAUAUUUUUCAUUUUUCAUAUCUUUAGACCUUCUACCCAAAAAAUUUAGUUUGUGGAUUUUUUAAAAUAAUAUUUUGUUUGACUAGGCUUUUUAAAUGAAAGCCCCGAAAGGAAGCCCAUAUCAAUUCAACCUUUUUUUUUAGUCCUUGUUGGAGUCAUUUUACCGAGGUUUUGCAUAAAAAAAAAAAAGUAAAUAAAUAAAUAUAAUACCUUGUUUGACCCACAUUAUUUCAAAAAAAAUAAAAUAAAAUAAAUACAUUCUUAAACAAUGAUUUGACGUCAUUUCAAUAACAUAUAUUUUUAAUAAAAUAAUAUUAUACAUAAAUCCAAACAUUUAUUUAUUUUUUAACCACACAUUUCCUAUCAAUAUACUAUUCAAAAAUAGAUUUUUAUGAAAAUAACGUGGCUCAAACAAUGGCUAAAUAAAUAAAUAAAAGUUAAUUAUUUCAAUGGUCACUGAACUUAGGUUCAUGUCUUUAAUUGGUCAUUGAAGUUUAAAACAUCUAGUUUUGAUCACUGAAUUUAGGUCUAUGUCUUCGAUUGUUCACUAAAAUUUAAAAUUUCGAGUUUUGGCCACAGAAUUUUUAAAAAUGUUGUACAUUAUUCAAUAUAAACUCGAUAUUUUUCAAAGUUCAACAUUUAUGCUAGUGAUAAACAUACAAUAUUUUUCAAAAUUCAGUGGCCAAAGCUCGUUUUAAACUUUGAUGGGUAAUUGAAGACAUGGACCUAAAUUCGGUGAUCAAAAUUCAAAAUUUCAAACUUCAGUGACCAAUUAGAGAUAUGAGUCUAAGUUCAGCGACCAUUGAAACAAUUAAUUAGUGUGGAAAAGGUAUUUUGGAAUGGUGAUUUUUUUGAAAAACCUGUGAUUAAAAAAGAAAAAAAAAUUAGACUUACGUGUAAUAUUAUUUAAUUGGAGAAUGAAUUAUUAAAAACAAGAAGAAAAAAAAUGCAUUUUUGAUAAAAUUGAGCCCAAACAAAGGCUUAAUCUGAGAAAAUCCCCUCUCCACUCUUUAACCCUAAUUGCAACAAUGGGGAAGGAUCUUCUUAAACCAAAAUUAGACCUCAUUUGUCCACCUUUACUCAAUGAAAACUAAUUUUGAAAUAAUGAAUUUUUGGAAAGUAUAUGAUUAAAAAAUAGGAAAAAUUUUAAGUUUACGUUCAAAAUAUUUUAUUGUAAGAAUGUAUGAAUGAAAAUGAGUUUGAAAAAAAACAUCAAAUAAUAAUAGACAAGCAGGGACUUAAAACGGCCAAGAUUCUGUCUUCCUCCAUAUUAUUAUUACUUGCACACAUUCUAUCAACCAUGAAUUUUAUUCUUUUUUUUUUUUUGGGAAAUUGCAAAGGAGGUAAAUAACCCCAAACUUUUGUUUCUUGGUAAUUAGUUUUCUACCUACGAUCAAGUUUUGUAGGCCAAAAAAAUAGAAGUGGCCAAAAUCCAAUACAUUAAUUGUCACACUUGAUGUCAUAGCUCACGCCCUUCUUCAAUGACUUAUAUUGUGAAUUGAGGAACUUGGAUAUGAUUAGUCCUAGUCUUUGUGGUGAAGUUAUUUGGCUCAUGUUUGACAGUCAUUAUUUGAAAAUUCUUUUUUAUAUACUUAUUUUUAACUACACAUUCACAUAAUAAAAUAUUUUGUACGUAAAAUAUUUCAUAUGGAUGGUUUAGAAGUUCAAUGCAUAUCAUAAUGUUAUACUAAUUUAUUUAGCUUCAUAAAAUGAUAAGAAUAUAGCAAAAAAAUAAUUGAGGACUUAAGUAUGAAAAUGAGCAAAGAUUAUAAAUGUUUAUUGCAAUUAUAAUAUUGCGUAGUUAAUAAAAAAUUUAAUGGAAAUAUAAUUACCCUACUAUUUGAUAUUCCAUUAUUAUCUAAAUUUAGGUAUCACGAGGAUUCAUAUGUAACUACCAAUUAAAACAACUUUUAAAUGAGGGUAAAUAUAACAUAAAAUAAAAUUUUAUCAAAUUAUAUUGUAACAUUCUGAAUGCAUUAAUUUAUUACAUUAAAUAUAUUAUUCAGUUGUUAUGAUAUGUUUGAAACAACCACAUGAAUCAACCAUUUAGAAAAGGGAUUAUGGAUAUUAUUUUUUAAAAUUGACUAAUUCAACCGAGGGAAUUAUUUAAGUCAUAUUUUUAUAAUAAAAGCUUUUAUUAAAAAUUAAUAUGAUAUUAAAAAUAUUAUUUUAGGGAAUGAUUGUCAAAUGGAAAAGAAAAUAAUUUUUUAAUUUCUUGUUAAAUAAAUUGAAAUAAUUAAUUAUUAACACAACUAAAAUUAAAUAAGGAUAUAUUUGGUGUAUAGCUAAAUAUGUAAGGAAUUAAUGUUAUUAAUUAGUUAUUAAUCAAAUUAAAAUUAAAGAAGGGUAUAUUAGGUAUAGUAAAAUAUGUAAGGCUAAAUAGGGUAUUCAAAAUUUCUCCACAAUCCUCUUUUUUAAUAUAUUGUAGAUUAGUCCUAGUUUUUUUGUGAAUUUAUUUAGCCCAUGUUUGACGGUCGUUAUUUGAAAACUAUUUUUUAUAUAUUCAUUUUCAAUUACACAUUUACAUAAUAAAAUAUUUUAUAUAUGAAAUCAAUUUUUCUUUCCCACCUUUUAAUUGCACAUUAUCCUUAAAUUCAUUUGUGAAAAUAUUAUCUUUCUUAAAUAAUGACCAUCAAACAGAGGCUUGAUCUAUAAAUAUGAGCCACUGUAAACAUCAAUUUUGAAGGAUAAUAAAAUUUAAUAAUUUUUUUUGAUAAUUCAAGUGUCCGAGUUUCGCCCAACUAAUCUUGAGGAGUGAUGACCUUUUCCCAUGAUUCGCCACUCAGGUAAAUUCAGAUGCGGUCACAUCUUAUACACAUUUGGAUCGGACAUUCGGAAUGUGAUUUUCUUCCUUGUGAACCUCCCUUUACGACGUAUGAACAAGACAUUUGGAGGGAUGACAAAGAGCAACAUAACCUAAUUUUAAUUGUAUUGUAAUGCGUCAGUAAGCGAUAAAAAUCUAUGUAUUUAUUAAUAUUUUAGUCCCGCUUCUUUUACAAUUCAAUGAAUCCUAUCCAAUUGCCAAGUUGAUGGAAUUCCCUGGUGUCAAUUAUAGGUUUAAUUAUGACCUAGUCCUCCUUUUCUUUUAAAGAUUCAAAAUACCCUCGAUUUUGAUCUUUCAAUCUUUAUCAUACAUUUAAUUAACAUCUUUUGAACAAGAAAACUCUAUUUAUUAUUAUAUAUACUUUUUAAAAAAUAAUCAUUUACAUUUGUAAUAAUUUAUGUUAUCCUAAAUUGUUGUUUAUGAUAAAAAAAAAAAUUAAUGAUGUUUUUCAAGUAUGUGUACAGUACCGUAUAUGUUGCCCUAGCCCCUCUCUACCUCUAAUUAAAUUUUUUUUUUCAAACUCAUUUUCAACCAUAAAUUUUAUGGAACUCACAAUUUUUAUCAAAUUUUAUUAAAAUCUACUAAAAUUUGAUUUUUAAUCAUACCAAACACGAGUGCGAUCUGCAAUUCGUGAAAAACAAGAUUUUAAUGAAAAAUUAAAAUAUGAACUUUGAAUGAUGAGAAUAUAUAUAUAUAUAUAUAUAUAUAUAUUUUAUUUUAUUUUAUUAAGCCCAUGUUUGAGCUCCAUUAUUACUAGAUUUUUGAGAAAAAUAUACUUUUGUAAUUAGUGAUUUUUAAAAGAAUACAUGAUUAAAAAAGAAGAGAAUGAUUUGGAUUUACAUGUAACAUUAUUUUAUUGAAUAAUGUAUGACUGAAAAGAAUAUAGAAAAAAAAAUAUAAUAUCAAAUUAAUGGAGCCAAGAGAAAUGCUAAGAUUUUUUUGAAGAAAAUAUAGCCCUUAUUUGAGCCCCAUUUUUGCCAAGAAAAUAUAUUUUUGAAUAGUGUUGUAACGCUCCGACCCCUAGUGGACUGGAACGCUACUUACUUCACUUAACUUAACCGGUGGUUUAGUAACAAGUGUAUACGUUUUAGCGGAAGCUUACAUCUUGGGAUAAUAAUUUAAAUAACAAUACUUCAAAUACUUUAAACAAAAAUACUGAAUCAUUUUUCAAACAACAAAAUGUAAUUUAUUUGAAGAAAACAUAACUUGUUCUCUCAUUUUGCGUUAUUCAAAACUCAAAAAAAAUAACAUUGGAAAAUAUUUCAUAAAAAUAAAUCCAAAUCACUUAUUCACCGGAUUUUCAUGGGCUCGUUGCAUCACUCUCCAUCUUCUCCUCCAUCCAUGCCCGAAGUAGAAUUCCUUCAAUCUGUAGAGAUGAGAUUAAACCCGUGAGUUGAAAAACUCAAUAGAUGUCAUAGGUGCAUUCGUGAUCAAAUUAUUUCAAAACAUUAACUUUAUAACUUUUCAUACAUGCCGUACCUGGAGGCACCAUUUGACAUACGAACAUUUCUUCAACAUAGAGGGGUAUGCCGUACCGAAAUACCAUUUGACAUACAACCAUUAACAUAGAUGGAUAUGCCGUACUGGAGUACCAUUUGACAUACAAACAUUAACAUGAAUAGAAACUUAUAAUUUAACACGAUUAAACACAUUGCACCUCUACCUACCUUGAUUGAUGCUUUUGAAACUUUGAAAAUUUGGAUUGAAAACUUCGAUGAAACUUGGACGUUGAAAGAAAUGCACUCUUUGGAUGUUUGAAAACCGUUGAGAAUUGAUGCUUGAAAACACUUCUUAAACUUUUAGAAAAAAUAGUUUUCCUCCCUCUCUUUUUCUCUCUUGGAAACUCUUUUUUUAGUAUGUAAAAGCUCUUGCUUUUGGUGUGAGAAAAAAUGAGUGAAAUGAGGUCUCUAUUUAUAGGUAAAUAUUCCAUAACUUAAAGCAAAUGAAGGAUCAAAUUUCAUUUAAGAGAGAAAAUAUGGGUGUCAUUUAAGUUUGAAGUUAAAUGCUUCAAUUUAGUGGGGUUUUUAUUGCCAAAAACGUGGGUGGCCCUUUGAGAAAAUAAUUGAUGAAAAUAAAUAUUUAAAUUCUAGAGAAAAACGAGAAUUUUCAUUUCAGGCAGUUUCGGUCGACCGAUUGUAGUCCGGUUGACACUGCACAGUUUUCAAUAUUUCUAUCAUAACUUCUUCUCCCAAUAUCCGAUUGAGGUAAUUCAAAGUGCGUUGGAAAGCUAACUCAAAGAGCUACAAUUUUUAUUUAGAUAUCAUUUUCUAAAUCGAAUGUUUCCUAUGUCGAAACUGGGUUUCAAAUGAGACUAAAAAUCUGAAGUAUACUUUAGUCAUCCAAUAUUCAUGUCUUAGUGUCACUAAGGUGUUUAGAAUAAUUUGGGGUUCUACAAGUGUAAUGAUGUGAAAUGUGUAAUUAAAAAUAAGGAAAAUUUUUAGAUUUUUAUGUAAUAUUAUUUUAUUGAAGAAUGUGUGGCUGAAAUGAUAUCAAAACAAUGUUUAAGAAUGUAUUUUUUCCAAAAAAAAAAAAAAAAAAAAAAGAGCUCAAACAAGGGCAUAGUAAUGUUGAGUGAAAAUUACAGCCUGACAGUUUUAAGCUUCACAUUUCAAAAUUAAAAUUUAAAAAUUUUAUUUUCAAAAAUCGGAAGCUAAUUAAAAUUUUAAAUGUUAACAAUUAUAUUACAAAAUUAAAUAUACAUAUUCAUCCCACCUAAUCCAUACCCAACAACCCACACCAAAACCCUUAUCAGCUUCUCUCUCUAUUUUCUCUCUAUCCCCACCUUAUCUCAUUGAACAAUGCCGCUGAAAAACAUCACGAGAAGACGUUGUCGUCAAUGAGAAGACGUUGAGCGAUGAUGUUAGAGUCACGCACAGUGGCAUUGUAAUGCCACGAUCGAUUGGAUCCAAUUUUGAAUGUGCAUGAUGAUGUCACUACGGAUAUAGUCGAUGAGAUCUAGUCCGGAUUAUGCCGUAGUGCUACAGUCGAUUGGAUCUUAUUUUGAAUGUGUGUGAUGAUGUCGCUAUAGCUAUCGUCAAUGGUACCUAAUUUUCGAUAGUGUUGCAAUGCUCUCAAUCGAUGGGAUUUGGUGAGGUGGAAGUGGUUUGUGGUUGAGGUGGUGGUGGUCGUCGUUGUGGUUGAGGUGAAAAUAGUGAUAGUUUUGGUGUGGGUGUUUGUUUUGUUUGAAAUGAUGGGGAUGAUGGCGUUGCUAUCGAUUGUCAUGAGGAGGUGGUGGUAAUUCUAGCGAUAGUGGUGUUGGCAGUGAUUGUAUUGGAGGUGAUUGUUGUGAGUAAUCACAAAUGAUGGUAAUGAUAGUCAUAAAUUAUUUGGUUGGUUGUGAUCAAUAAGUUAGUUAAUGUGACCAAUUAAAUAGAUAAUUUGUAACAAAUAAAUAUCGUGUAAACUAAAACUUUGUUAAGUUGUGACUAAUAAUCAAAUAAUUUGUAAGCUGCAGAAAUAAUUUGUGAUCCAUUAAUUUAAUAUUUUGUGACCAAUAAAUAAUAGUAAGCAAUAACUUGUGAUCAAUAAAUAAUAUGUAAUCUAGAAGAUUGAGUUGUGGCUUAUAAUUUUUUGAAUUGUGAUCGAAUAAAUAAAUUUUAAUUUAUAAAUUUUUUAAAUUUAUGAUCGUAAAAUUAUUUGUGACCUGUAAAGUUCUUAACUCGUGAUCGAAAAAUAAUUUGUGAUAAAUUAAUUCGAUAAUUUGUGACCAAAUACCAUAGAAUUGUGAUCUUAAUAUAUUUAAUUAGUAAAAUAUAUAUUUAAUUAAUAAAAUAUAUUUUUAAUUAAAUAUUUCAUAAAUUAAAUUAAUUUAUAUAUGAUUUUUGAAUUUUUAAACCUUAUUUUUUAAUUUUGAAAUGAAUCAUACUUAACUUUUUUAUAUGAAGUUUUCCCUAUUUUUGAUGUUAUCCUAUUUCCUAAAUACUAUCACCUCAACCGACAUCUCUGUGGGCUAAUAAAGUUAUGUUUUUGGCUAUUUGCCUUGUUUAUUUGUUGGAAAAAAGUCAAAACUCGUGUAUAUACUAUAUAGUUUUCACAAAUUCAAAAGUCUGGCGUAUAGUUUAAAAAUUUAAAAUUCGAGUAUAUAUAUAAUUAAUUAAAAAUAUUUAUUAAAUAAAUAUAAUAAAAUUAUAAUUAUACAAUUAAUGAUCACAAAUUCAAAAUUAUAGAUCACAAUUUAUUUAUUGAUAACAUAUUAUCAAAUUAAUCACAAAUUAUUUUAAAAUCACAAAUCAAAAAUUUUAUAGGUCACAUUUUCUUUCAAGGUGACAAAUUAAAAAUUUUAUGGAUCACAAUUUAUUUGUUAAUCAAAUAUUUUCAAAUAUGUUGAUUACAAAUUAUAUUACAGUCACAAGUUACCAAAUUUUAAGGUUACGAUUUAAUACUUGGUCACAAAUAACCAAAUAAUUGGCCACAUACACCAGAUGGCAUGUCACACACCACGUCGCCAACAGUACAACUACGGCCACCGCCACUUGUUACCACCAUUGCUAGCAUCACACCACAAUCGCCAUUAGCAUCGCCAUUACAAUCGUCAGCACCACCAUCAACGCAUUAACCUACACCACCACAAAAAAAUCGUCACCAGAUCACAUUGCCCUCACUAUCACCGCCAACAGCUCUACCACCACAAACAUCGUCACUGCAUUUUGCUCUAACAAGCCACCCACCACCUCCACCUCCAAUCAACGAUCGUACUACCGCUGUCUGCUAAAAUCACCAUCUCUCCCAAUAUUAGCACACCAUAGCCACCACCCCACAAACAAAAUCAUCAAGUACCCCACCGCCUCCACCUCCAUAACCUCUCUCCGACAUCUACCACGGCUCCAUAUCAUUCAUUUCAAAGAAAUCAAACUCUAAAAAAAAGAACAUAACUAUGUCACUAUGCACGAAGGAAAAAAUAGAUCUCAUCUUUGCUUGCUAGCGAUAGUCACGCGCGAAACAACAAAACCCCUAACACGGAGAAGAGCCAUAGCCGCUCGCAGCGUUUAUGUUGCCACGAAGCGGCGACGCCUAACAUGAAGGAGCACGCUGCUGUGACGUGAAGAUUGGUCAGAGUGGGCGCGCAAUGAAGAACCAUUGGAGUGGGUGUCCUGUGAAGAUGGAGGUGGGGAUAGAGAUUGUCGAUGUGGGGUGGGGAAAGAAACCGUCAUUGUGAGCUCGACAGUGGUCUUUGGUAGUGGGUGCGACAGCGUCGGAGUUGCGAGUUAGGUGGAGAGAGUAAGAGGUGAGAAGAUGGAGAGAUGAAUUUUAGGGUUUGGGAUUAAGUUGGAUUGAGAUGAAGUUGUAUAAAUUUUAUGCCCCAUUUGGCCCUAUUUUGUAUAAAUGGAAAUGAGUAGAAUAAUGUUUUUUGUGAAAAAUGAGUGGCUGAAAAAGAAGAAAUUUUUUUCUAUUUAUAUGUAAUAUUAUUUUAUAGAAGAUUGUGUAGUUGAAAAUAAAAAAAAAUGUAAUGUAAUGAAAAUUAACGACGUCCAAAUGGUUGUAUAUUAUUAUUAUUACUAAUAUAACAUCUUGCAAAGUCUUCUCUAGUGUACUUUUCCCAAGGCGGUUUCAAUGUUAUGACCCAACAGUAAAACCUCACUAUUGCCACUCAAACAGCCGUCGGGAAACUUGAGACUUGAGAGACCCACUGCUCCUGCGAAUCCAACAGCUACUGGGCGCUUUUUUAAACGGCUGUAGGGUACAGGUAAUUCCCCUUAUUCUUUUAUUUUCCAUAGUCUAAUCUUCUUCUCGCCUGCUCUUGGAUUUUCCAUUUUUUCCCUUUUAUCCGGGUCUUGGUUCUUUCUUCCUAUCUUUCUUUUAAUUUUUCUUCUGCAGUUGUAUUUACUUGCUUUUGGUUGCUUCUUUUCUUUUUUCCUUUUUGCUUUUAUCGUCUCGUUUUUUUCCUGCGUUGUUUUCUUGUAUUUGGGAAGCCCUCUUUUCCUUUUAAUACAAGCUUAUGCAAUGUUAAUGUUGAUUCUUGAUCUGGUUUUUCUGCUGCAAUGUAUACAUUCUCUAAUUAUUUCUCAAUUACUGUUGAGGAAAUUGUUUUGUGUUGAGGUGUGGUCUAAGCCCCAAAGUGCCUAAAUUAGGCUUGUGCCUGGCCUCAAUGAGGCAAUAUGCCAAUUGGACGGCCAUUGCUGAAUUAGCUGUCACUGCUUCCCUUGGUCCAGAUUGGAUGGGUCGUUAUGCUAUUGCAUAAAAAUUGCGGUGCAUGAAAAAUGUUGACAUUUACUUAUGCUGUCGUUGAAAACUCGAAAUUAUCAUUUUCCACUAGGAUAUUACUUUUGAUAAACCAAAUUGAUGCCGCCCAUGCUUAGAGCUUUUUCCCUAAUUCCAGAAAGUCAAGCCUCAUUCUCGGGGAGCUUACCGAGCUAUGGAUGUCAAGCCAGCCAAAACCUCUAAGUUUUGGGUUUUAGAGUCUGGAUUCUUUCGGAAGCUCCAUCAUUGCCAAGAUUCUUAGCACUGUUGAUGAUUCCAUCUAAAAUACAAUAGGGACAGCUGUUUCCUGCUGCUUCUUUCGUAUAGGAAGUUAGCAUUACUUAAUUACCAGAGAAACUCUAUCUCUACGGGCAAACGGACUUAUCUCUUUUGAACUACAUGUCAAGUGAUGUUAGUAUCAUAAUAGGGAGUAAACGAAUCUUAUCCUAGCAGAAUAUAUUUGAAAUUUGUGCGUCAUACCCUCUAUUUUACCUAAACUGUACCUGUCAGUGUCACUCUUAUGCAAAAUAUAUGCUUUCACUUCUUGAUUUGAAUAAUUGUCUAUUGAUGAUGUUGGUUGGUAGAUUUCCAAAUGAAGAAAUCCAAGGAUCCUUUUGAAAUUGCAUUUGUGGAGCAAGAUGAAUCACCCCCUGAAUCACCCACUAGCCCUGAUGAGACUGAGGCAAAAACUCCAGGUGCCCUCACUCUGGAUGUUGGUGAUGAUGAUGACAUCGGUAAUGAUCUUCGUCAUAGAGACCCUUCAACAUCUGCACCUACUUCAAACCCCAUUGGGACUACUGGCCCUACUGGAAAGUCCAAAGAAGAAGAUGAGGAAGAAGAAGAAGAGAACAUGGAUGUUGAGCUGGGCAAGUUCCCUUCUAGUGGCGAUCCCGAUAAAACAGCCAUUAUGCAGUGAGUUAACUGGUUCAUUUCAUUUUUCCCAAUUCUUUCUGGAUGAAUUGUUAUUUCGCAUACGUAAUGUCAGUAUCAAACUGAUGUCAUGAUAUCAUUGAUUUCUUGGUCCGUGAAAUUUCAUUAAGAAUAGAAUGACAUUGCAUUAGUUCUCAAAAUAACAAGAAUUAUAGCAGUCACCUCAGUGGUGUUUUAUCUAAUUGAAGAGAGAAUCAAAACGAAAAUGAAGAAUAUAGAAAUGAAACUUUUUAUGACUGAGUCAAUCUAUAUUCAAGAUUUAUUUGUGUUUCCAUUGAUCUGGUAAAUCAAAAUGUGAAGGUUUACGGGUUUUAUCUUGUAAAUAUAUAACUUGACCUUCACUUCUUUAGUUCUCAUUUUAAAAUUUACAUUUCUCUUUUUGUUCGUUCUAAAGUUCAUAACAACUCAUUUUCUUUUCCAGGAAUAUUCUUUCUCAAUUUACGGAGAAGCAGAUGAGUAGAUAUGAAUCAUUUCGUAGAUCUGGAUUUCAGAAAUCAAACAUGAAACGGGUAGGCAUCACCUCAUUCUUGUGCUCUAUGCUCAGCGGUCCCCCCGUUCCUCGUUCUCCGGCUUGUAUUGCAUGAAGUAGCAAACGGCCAUUGUUGCAAUCUUUUACCGUGUUCUAAUUGCAGUUAUUGACAAGCAUAACUGGAAGUGCCAAAAUUUCUAUGCCUACGACAAUCGUGGUAUCUGGAAUAGCAAAAAUGUUCGUUGGGGAGCUUGUUGAAACAGGUAUGCUGAUUUAGUAUUCGGUAGUAGUUAUAAGCUUAAAUUUUUUUUCUCUAUUCAUUUUUAGGUUUGAGAGAUUCUAUUGCUAAUGGUGAACAGAAAGCUUUAUAUGUCCUAUGUGUCAUACUCUGAAAUAAAAAAUACAACAAUAUGACUGUAAUGAAGCUCUACAAUUUUGCAGCCAGAAUAGUGAUGGCAGAGAGAAGGGAGUCUGGGCCAAUCAGGCCGUGCCACAUCAGAGAAGCGUAUAGAAGACUAAAACUUGAAGGUAAGAUUCCAAAAAGAUCAGUGCCAAGGCUUUUCCGCUAAAAGAAUCUGGUAGUAACUUGCAGUAUUCCAUGGUGUACUCUUACCGAACUUCAAGAUCCGUCAUCUUUUCCUGGUAAAUAUGACCUUAACAGUUCGGCAAGGAUGCUUGUAUUUGCACAUAAAUAUUUGCUCCAUGGCUUGCCCAGAUCAUAAAAAAUUGCACAGGAGUUCAAUAAUGAAUGAAUUUCAACAUUUCAGGACUAAAAUGGAAAGUUUAUAAAUGAUUUUGUACAAGUUGAAACAAACUCGCACAGAUCAUAAUCCAGAUGAAGAAAAUGUUACAAUGUUGACACUACAAACCAUGCUUUGAUAGCAUUUUAGCCAUCAACAACUCCCCAUAAUAGAGUAUUAUAUUUUGGGUAACUGAAGAAACAUGAAAAUAUUUAUUUAUUUGUCCAACACCAGGCUAGUUAUCAAUGAUCAUAAAGAGUAAUCUGAUACUCAUUUUACAUCAGUUUAAUGUCAAAGAAAAAUCCUUAUCCUUAAAGAGGGGUUAGAUAUCUACUUCCAAAUCAUUAUAUAGCAUGAGAUUGAGAAGUUGAAAGGAUGGCUAGGUCGGAUUUCUAGUUAAAAUAUCCACUUGAAAAGAAUAUCCCUGAUUUAAAAAGUUACCCAAUUAUUCAAACUCCGAGCUUUCCUUCAGUAUAAAUGCUCAUUUAUUUGCUUCGAUCUCCAUUAGUAUAAUACUUUGAACAAACGGUAGAAGUUGUACGGUGAUCUAAACAAACAAUUCAAGAAUUUCGACACUAGUAAUAACAGAACAUCAAAAAUCCUUCUUUUCACAUAAAUAUGAAACUUGGACUUCGACAACUAAUGUUAUGUACAGAAAUACUUGUCGUGCACUUGGGCUCAACGUAAGCUAGAAAAAGGGCCACGUAUUUUUAAUAUUCGAGCCUCGAUCGUUGACACACAGUCGAAGCAAAAAAUGCCUUGACCACCGAUGCACACUAAUUAACGAAAUGCAUAGAACUCUUUUAACACUGGUUUGGAUGGAAACCUUAGUUCGAAUUUUGACAAAAUCAAGAUAAACUAGUCUAAUAAAAUAAAGAUAAACACUCAUACAUUUUAAACAUUCAUGUUUCUAUUUUACUGCAUAUUCAGUUAUGUUCUCCAUGAAAUAUGCUAACAUUUCGGACUUUUAAACGUAAGGGUCCGUUUGAUUGCAAAGAUAAAAUUGAAUUGAAUUGAAAACGAAUUUCAGGGAAUUGAAUUGCCUAGAAAUUGUUUUUCUGUGAAUUGUAAAUUAUUGUGUUUGAUUGGUAUAAUUUUUCAAGUGGAAAAUAUUGAAAUAAAAGUGUUUUUUGGUGUUCGUUUGGCUUUGUUUUACAUAAAAAUUGUCAAUUAAAAAUAUAAAUUUUACUGGUAUUGGAAAUGAAAUUUGUUUUCAUUGCCAAAAAAAAAAAAAUCAAGAAAAUCAUCUAUCUUUUGGUAUUCGUUUGAAUUUGUUUUACAUGAAAAUUAUCAAUUAAAGGAAAAUAUUUUUUUUUACAAUAAUUUUUAAAAUUUGUUUGCCAAGAAAAUAAAAAAUUAAAAAAAAAUGUGAACAUUAACUUCCCACGAAAGCAAGAAAAUUGUACUUCCCAAUAAAACCAAGAAUCUAAAUUCCAUGGAAAAUUAAACCCUAUCAAACAACUAAAAGUUCCAUGGAAAAAAUUAACCAAUCAAAUAUACCCUAAGAUCAUCUAACGUCUUGAACUUUGAAGCACACAAUUACCAAUUACAAUUGCCAUCAAUGCAUGCUAGCUUCAAGAAACUCAUACUUGAUUUCUUCACAUUCAAUUAGAAUUUCUUUGUAAGAGAAAACGUGUAUUUUCCUAUUUUAAGUCCUCCUUAUGGGAAAAAUAUCGUCCAAUUAUAUGUUCGACAACCCAAUCAAUUGUAAGUAGGGCAGUGACUGAAAUCCCAACAUUAAAGAGGCUGCCCAUGAGCGCAUUCCCAACAUUAGCGUUUGGGACAUUUGGUGAUUGUUUUUUGUUGAAGCAAUUGUAGGAGAUGUCAUGUAUGUCCCCCAGUUUGAUGUUGCCCUCAACCGCAUUCUCAUCAAUUUAUGGGCACGACCGUGGGCGGAUAAAGAACAAGUCUUUCAUCGAGUUGCCAUAACUAUAUAAAAUAUAGAAGAAAUAUUUUUAUAUUCAAGUAUCUCAAGUUGCGUGUUUUAAUACUAUAUCCAAAUUAUAAAAGCUCCUCCCUUUUCUAGUGGACAUCUUAAACCCCCGUACUAACAAGAAUAAAUUUAAUUAAAGUGUAAGUUAAAGUGUAUAAUUAUGGCUUUUAAUUUUCUAUUUAAUCUGAAUAUUAUAAUAAAGAAAAACUGAAAAUUAAAAUCAAUUUCAAGUUUUCAAAAUUUAAAACUUAAGUUACAACCAUAAAUUUCAAGGUAGUGGUCCUACCUGAGAAAAACAAAAAACUGAAAAUUAAAAAUAAAAACCUUUUAAUCAGAUUUUUGAUUAGGGAUGGAUAAAACUCUCUAACCGAAUCAGACCGAACGGACCUGAAUUGAAUGGUUCUUUUUAAGUUAAAUAUCUAAAUGAGUAUCUAAAUCGAGAACAGAAGAUUUUAGUUCGAUUCUCAGUUCAAGAUGAAGAACCAAAUAAUUGAAUAAGAACCGAAUUUUUCAAAUUUUUUUUUACCUUUUUUUAAAAAAAAAUCUCAAAUAAGCCAUUAUUUUUAUGAAAAAAUAAAUAAAUUUGCUAACUAAUUAGCAAAAACCCAAAAUAUGAUUUUCUUAUGAGAAAAAUUCAUAAUUAAGAGAUUAAGUAUCACUCAUUUCAAAAUUAAGAACAAAGGUUCCAAAUUUCAAAAAUCAAAUAUUUAUUAAAAUUUAUUUAUGAUUUAAUUAAUUAAUUAUAUUUUAUUAAUUAAAAAUAUUAAGGUCACAGAUCUAUACAAUUUGGUCACAGAUUAAUGAUUUAGUUCAUCAUAUAUUAUUUUUCGAUCACAAAUUAGAAGUUUAUAUAUCAUAAAUUAUUUUACGAUCACAAUUCAAAAAUUUUAUGGAUCACAAUUUGUUUAUCGAUCAAAAAUCAAAAAAAUUAUAGGUCUCUAUUUAUUUAUCAAUCAAAAAUCACAAACAUUAUAAGUCACAACUUAUUAUACAAUCAUAAAUUAUCAAAUUAUCGGUCAUAAAUUAAGAAUUUUUUAGGUAACACAUAAUUUCUUGAUCAAGAUUUUUAUUUUUCAUUGGUCAUAUUUUGUUUAUUGGUCAUAGAUUAACCAAUUUAAUUGUCACAAUCAACCAAAUAAUUUAUGACCACCACAACACUUGCGACUGCCAUCUCACCACUACCUCCAGCACACCACCACUACUAACACUAGUGAGUGCUAUCUCACCACUACCUCCACCACCACCACCACUACAAACAAAUCAACACAUUGCAAAAAAACACCACCACAUCAUCGCGUCAGAUCCACCAUCCCGAUAAACCCAUUUCCACCAACAUCUCACCAUCACCACCUCAACCACCACCGUUGCAUGCGCGCACACACCCCCCCUCCAACCACCGCACCACCAUCGCACCCAUAGCACCACAACUGUACCUACAGCAACACAACCACACACACACAUCGCCACAGUUGCGCGCCACCCUGUACCCACAAAGCUCUUCAUUCCCACCAUUGGACCGCACAGCUCCACCACCACCGUAAUAGCAAAACUAACCCAUCAUUACCACCACAGAACCAUCAAUCACCUUACCACUCAAAAAUCUAAAAAAAAUGAAGAGUAAUGGAUCUGCAUCGUCCUCAAACAACUGGAUUGUCGCUGCGCACAGCUACUCAUUCGCACAUAGAGGUGCAAUCGCGGCACGAAGCUAUGCAGAGCUGCUCAUUUGAACGCUAAGAUGCCGCGUUGCGGCUGCAUGAUGUGACGGCUAUGCCUCAGAUGCCGCGCCUCGACGCCGGAUGUGCUUGUAUAUGCAUGUGAAUCUUAUUUUGUAAUAUAAUUAUUAAUAUUAAAAUUUUUAAUUAUAAUCUGAUUUUUGAAUAAGCAAACUUUGGAUCUGAUUUUUGACAUUGAAUCUUAAAACGUAUAGAUGGGGUGUAAUUUUCACGUUUCUUAUUUCUAAUUUCCAAUCAAGUUCAAUUUAAUCAAAUUGACCCAAACUUUACCUAAAAAUCUUAUUUUACCAUUUCUGCCGUUCUGGAUAAAUCGAAUUGGAAGCUUGACUAUGCAUAUCUUCAUUAUUGUAAGCUCGCCAUCUUUCUAUUCUUGUAAUUUUAAUUGUCAAAUCUAUGAAGAACUCAAUAAAGAAAUGAGCAAAAUAUAUAACGGGAUUAGACAACAUUAUUUUGUAAGAAUUAAGAUUUAACAUGCCAUAGUUGAAUUAAUGUAGUGUUGUAAAUAUAAAAAAUAAUUAUUAUACGGAACCCGAGAGUAGAAUGGAACUUAACACGAACAAUUCCAUAAUUAAAUUUGGACCCAGUCGAUUUACUAUUAUUUAGUGCAUUCCUUCCAAUAAAAAUCAUUAGCAAUACAAAAGGUACAAUUGCAUUCAAGUACUAAAAAAUUUUCUUCUUAAAUAAUAUCGUUAUUUCCUCAUAAAGAAUACUAAUGAAGUUAUUAAAACUAGAUAGAACAUUAUAUUAACACCAACAUAAAGUGAUAUUAGCCUCUAUUUGACAAACUUUAUUUUAUAAAUUAUCAAAUUUCAUUUUCAACUACAUAUUUUAAUAAAUCCACAAAUACUAUCCAUUUAUCCACCACUUAAUUUUAUUCAGUUGAAAUCAAACAUUAAUUUCGUUUACAUAUCACCCACUUCGUGAAAUAUAUUACUAUUUUUCUUACCAUUCUUAUUUAUAAAAAAAAUUAUAAAUUUGUUAAACGGAAGCUAAAUUAUUUAUAAAUUCUUUCGAAAUUAGUGGAUCUUCAACAGUAAAGCUUGAAAUAUCUUCAGAGUGAAAGAGGGUGUGUGUAGCUCAAUUCAUGCUUAACAAGCAGAAGCCAAAGACAGGAUUUUUUCCCCUAAAGUCUUAACAAACAAGAAAUUAAUGAUGGUAAAGAUGAUUUCUCCCACAAAUGCAUCUUUAGAUAGAAGAAUUGCUCCUACUAAUGAAUUUACAUUAAUGAUAGUAUUAUUAUCGUCUAUCGCUUUGAGUAAUGUUAAAGCACAUUAUUAAGAUUAAGUUAACUAAUCAUGAUUUGUUGGAAGAAUUAACAAUAUUUAACUAGUAAAUUAAUUCAAAAUAAAUGAGUAAAUAAGAAUCUUGCAGAUUUUUUGAGCAGGAAUAUCGAAUUCGGAGAUGGAUAAUAUCAAAAAUGCAUUAAUAGACGUCAACAGACGAAUGAAAUUCCUCAUGGAAGAAUCUGAAGAUAUGAAAAUUGGAAUUGAGCAGUUAGAGGAAAUGACAGAAUCUAUCCAACAAAAUGUCAAAUUGUUGGUGGAAAUCUCUAAUUCUCAUUCCAAAUAUACCAAAGAAUUGAAUGACAGAAUUGUUGAUAUUACUUCACAAUUCGAGUCAUUAGAUACCAAAUAGGAAAUACCAAUUGAUACAAUCUCAAAAAUACAAACAGGUACACAGCCAGGAAGCAGUAGUGGACCCAGCAAUAUCAAACGAGACAUAGCAAGUCCCCGGAAGGUGACUAUAAAAAAUGGUGAUGAACAUACAAGAGUAAUAAGAAUCAAAACUGAUGAAGAUGAUGAUACUCCUUUAUCAUCAAAAGAAGAAGAAUAUAGAUCAUUUGCCAAAAUUGUUUAUGAAUUGGAAGAAAAUGAAUCAUAUUUUAUUGCAUCGGGAGAUCAUGUUUAUCCCAGAUUAAUAAUUACCAAAGAUGCAGACCCUUUCAUGGUCAAAAUAGCAACAGAUUAUGGAUUUUUGGAUUUGAUCUAUCUAGGAAAAGAUUUAAAAGAAAUUGAAAAUUUUGAUGAUAUAUUCAGGACAGAAGUUUCAAAAUUUGCCCAAGGGAGGUCGAUUUAUAUUAAAUUUUAUUCAAUAAGUCCCGAGGUUGAUGGAAGGAUAUAUUAUCCUGCUGAACAUAUUAUUACAAUUGGAUAUGUUGGCCGAGAUUUCCAGAUUGAAGUUGGCCGAAAUAAUAAACCAUUGCCUAAAAUCAAUAAAUCAUGGAUAAAAUCUCGAAGAGUUUUGGGGAUGAAAGUUCUUUACAACAUUGCAAAGAAUUUAUAUGAUAAAAAAUUCAGAUGCUUGUGCCAAUAUGAAGGAUGGACACUCCUUAUGAAUAAUGGAAAAAAAAAAUCUACCAUUUUGAAAGAAUAUAUCCAAAAAUUUGAUACUCAUCAAAUUAAUGGAAGUCCUACAACAAUUCAAGAAUCAUGUAGAUUGAGGGAGUGCCCCACAUGUAGACAAGAUUAAAAGAUUGAUUCUUCAAGAUAAAAGAUGAAUGGAGAUAGAUAAAAGGGGACCUACCACUACCAAAGCAUCUAGCCAGCUGCAUAAGGAGCCAAAGAUGGAAAGGCAAUAAUAGAGAAAAAGAUGCCCUUUUGAUGGAAAGGCAAAGAAUGCAUGUAAAAAUGUAGACCCCAGGAGGAAAAGAAUAGAGAGGCAUGUGAGCCGUUUUUUCAAAAUUCUGAUGUAUGCAAUGAUAUAAUAGAUCAAUAAUAGUGAGUUUGAGUCAUGUAUAAAUAGAGGUAUUUGGGAAAAGAAUGAAUCAUCUCGAGUUAGAAACCAUUCUCUUUCCUUAAGCUUUUUUCAAAAUCAGUUUUUCUAGCAACCCCUUGUAUACAAUAGAAAUCUUGUAUAAAUCAUUAUAGAAAUAAAAUUUCAAUUUUUUGAUAUCAGAAAGAUAUGAGUUUCUAAACUUCCUAUCCCAUAGAUUCUGGAUAGAUUGAAGAAGAUAAUUUCUUUCUUACUUUAACAAAGAGAGAAUUUUCUUUACUUAAAAUCUUUAUUCUUAAUUCUAAGAAAAGAUACAGUGAGGGCAAGAAGCUGAAAUAGCAGAAUUCCCAUUGAGGCAAGAGGCCGUUUGAGGGAGCAGUUUGCAGAUUCAGAGUCUGAAGGUCACUCGAUUCUAAGAAUACAGAUUUAAGAUCAAAAGUAAGGUAAAAUUAUUGUCUUUGUUAAAUUUAGAAAGAAUUCUUCUAAUAUCUUGAAAGAAUCGUAGGGAUUAUUACUUUUCAUGUUUGCAAAAAACUUAUUUAACAUGUUAUUAUUAUUUAUAAAGCUUGCAAGGAAUUAUCUGAAUAAUGCCAGAUUAUACAAUUAAAGAAUUAGAUAAUCUGUUAGAAAAACUAUUAAGGAAAAUAAGAAAUAUUUUUGCUCAACUAGAGACUAUGGAUAUUUCAUCUAAGGAAUAUGAUAAUCUUAGUAAAUUACAUGACAAUUAUAUUACAGAUUAUGCUAAUUUAUUAGAUCAAAAGAUGGAACUAUAUAUUAAAAUUCGAAAUGAAAGAAAUAGAGAAAUUUUAGAAUUAUCCCAAUGAAUUAAGGAUAUCUUGUGCAAAAUAUGACAAAUCCUUUCAUUAAGGGUAUUAUAGACAUUUUAUUAAAAAUGAAUAGUGGCAGGUCAUUUAUAAAAAUCUCCCCCAGAUAAUAUGUCACACACCACGGUCACCAACACUACAACUACGACCACCGCCACUUGUUACCACCAUCGCUAGCAUCACACCACAACCGCCAUUAGCAUCACCAUUACAAUCGUCAGCACCACCAUCAACGCAUUUACCUACACCACCACAAAAAAAUCGUCACCAGAUCACAUUGCCCUCACUAUCGCCUCCAACAGGUCUACCACCACAAACAUCGUUACUGCAUUUUGCUCUAACAAGCCACUCUCCACCUCCACCUCUACCUCCACCUCCAAUCAAUGAUCGUACCACCGUCGCCUGCUAAAAUCACCAUGUCUCCCAAUAUUAGCAUACCACAGCCACCAUCCCACCAACAAAAUCAUCAAGUCCCCCACCGCCUCCACCUCCACCUCCACCUCCAUAACCUCUCUCUGACAUCUGCCACAGCUCCAUGUCAUUCAUUUCAAAGAAAUCAAACUCAAAUAAAAAAAAAAGAACAUAACUAUGUCACUAUGCACGAAGGAAAAAAUUGAUCUCAUCUCUGCUUGCUAGCGAUAGUCACGCGCGAAACAACAAAACCCCUAACACGGAGAAGAGCCAUAGCAGCUCGCAGCGUUGAUGUUGCCAUGAAGCGACGGCGCCUAACAUGAAGGAGCACGCUGCUGUGAUGUGAAGAUUGGUCAGAGUGGGCGCGCAAUGAAGAACCAUUGGAUUGGGUGUCGAUGUGGGGUGGGGAAAGAAACCGUCAUUGUGAGCUCGGUAGUGGUCUUUGGUAGUGGGUAUGACAGUGUCGGAAUUGCGAGUUAGGUGGAGAGGGUAAGAGGUGAGAAGAUGGAGAGAUGAAUUUUAGGGUUUGGGAUUAAGUUGGAUUGAGAUGAAGUUGUAUAAAUUUUAUGCCCCAUUUGGCCCUAUUUUGUAGAAAUAAAAAUGGGUAGAAUAAUAUUUUUGUAAAAGAUGAGUGACAGGAAAAAUUUUCAAUUUAUUUGUAAUAUUAUUUUAUAAAAGAUUGUCUGAUUAUAAAUAGAAAAAAAUAAAAUAAAAUAUAAUGAAAAUUAAUGACGGCCAAACGGUGCUAUAUUAUUAUUAUUACUAAUAUUAAUAAUUAAAUUAACAUCUUGAAAAGUUUUCUCUAGUGUACUUUUCCCAAGGCGGUUUCAAUAUUAUGACCCAACAGUAAAACCUCCCUAUUGCCACUCAAACAGCCGUCGGGAAACUUGAGACUCGAGAGACCCACUGCUCCGGCGAAUCCAACAGCUACUGGGGGAUUUUUUAAACGGCUGUAGGGUACAGGUAAUUCCCCUUAUUCUUUUAUUUUCCAUAGUCCAAUCUUCUUCUCGCCUGCUCUUGGAUUUUCCAUUUUUUCCCUUUUAUCCGGGUGUUGGUUCUUUCUUCCUAUCUUUCUUUUAAUUUUUCUUCUGCAGUUGUAUUUACUUGCUUUUGGUUUCUUCUUUUCUUUUUUCCUUUUUGCUUUUAUCGUCUCGUUUUUUUCCUGCGUUGUUUUCUCGUAUUUGGGAUGCCCUCUUUUCCUUUUAAUACAAGCUUAUGCAAUGUUAAUGUUGAUUCUUGAUCUGGGUUUUCUGCUGCAAUGUAUACAUUCUCUAAUUAUUUCUCAAUUACUGUUGAGGAAAUUGUUUUGUGUUGAGGUGUGGUCUAAGCCCCAAAGUGCCUAAAUUAGGCUUGUGCCUGGCCUCAAUGAGGCACUAUGCCAAUUGGACGGCCAUUGCUGAAUUAGCUGUCACUGCUCCCCUUGGUCCAGAUUGGAUGGCCCCGAUAUGCUAUUGCAUAAAAAUUGCGGUGCAUGAAAAAUGUUGACAUUUACUUAUGCUAUCGUUGAAAACUCGAAAUUAUCAUUUUCCACUAGGAUAUUACUUUUGAUAAACCAAAUUGAUGCCGCCCAUGCUUAGAACUUUUUCCCUAAUUCCAGAAAGUCAAGCCUCAUAAAUGGAGAUUGUUGCAUCUUCUCGGGGAGCUUACCGAGCUAUGGAUGUCAAGCCAGCCAAAACCUCUAAGUUUUGGGUUUUAGAGUCUGAAUUCUUUCGGAAGCUCCAUCAUUGCCAAGAUUCUUAGCACUGUUGAUGAUUCCAUCUAAAAUACAAUAGGGACAGCUGUUUCCUGCUGCUUCUUUCGUAUAGGAAGUUAGCAUUACUUAAUUACCAGAGAAACUCUAUCUCUACGGGCAAACGGACUUAUCUCUUUUGAACUACAUGUCAAGUGAUGUUAGUAUAAUAAUAGGGAGUAAAUGAAUCUUAUCCUAGCAGAAUAUAUUUGAAAUUUGUGCGUCAUACCCUCUAUUUUACCUAAAUUGUACCUGUCAGUGUCACUCUUAUACAAAAUAUAUGCUUUCACUUCUUGAUUUGAAUAAUUGUCUAUUGAUGAUGUUGGUUGGUAGAUUUCCAAAUGAAGAAAUCCAAGGAUCCUUUUGAAAUUGCAUUUGUGGAGCAAGAUGAAUCACCCCCUGAAUCACCCACUAGCCCUGAUGAGACUGAGGCGCAAACUCCAGGUGGCCUAACUCUGGGUGGUGGUGGUGAUGAUGACAUCAGUAAUGAUCUUCGUCAUACAGACCCUUCAACAUCUGCACCUGCUUCAAACCCCAUUGGGACUACUGGCCCUACUGGAAAGUCCAAAGAAGAAGAUGAGGAAGAAGAAGAAGAGAACAUGGAUGUUGAGCUGGGCAAGUUCCCUUCUAGUGGCGAUCCCGAUAAAACAGCCAUUAUGCAGUGAGUUAACUGGUUCAUUUCAUUUUUCCCAAUUCUUUCUGGAUGAAUUGUUAUUUCGCAUACGUAAUGUCAGUAUCAAACUGAUGUCAUGAUAUCAUUGAUUUCUUGGUCCGUGAAAUUUCAUUAAGAAUAGAAUGACAUUGCAUUAGUUCUCAAAAUAACAAGAAUUAUAGCAGUCACCUCAGUGGUGUUUUAUCUAAUUGAAGAGAGAAUCAAAACGAAAAUGAAGAAUAUAGAAAUGAAACUUUUUAUGACUGAGUCAAUCUAUAUUCAAGAUUUAUUUGUGUUUCCAUUGAUCUGGUAAAUCAAAAUGUGAAGGUUUACGGGUUUUAUCUUGUAAAUAUAUAACUUGACCUUCACUUCUUUAGUUCUCAUUUUAAAAUUUACAUUUCUCUUUUUGUUCGUUCUAAAGUUCAUAACAACUCAUUUUCUUUUCCAGGAAUAUUCUUUCUCAAUUUACGGAGAAGCAGAUGAGUAGAUAUGAAUCAUUUCGUAGAUCUGGAUUUCAGAAAUCAAACAUGAAACGGGUAGGCAUCACCUCAUUCUUGUGCUCUAUGCUCAGCGGUCCCCCCGUUCCUCGUUCUCCGGCUUGUAUUGCAUGAAGUAGCAAAUGCCUUGACCACCGAUGCACACUAAUUAACGAAAUGCAUAGAACUCUUUUAACACUGGUUUGGAUGGAAACCUUAGUUCGAAUUUUGACAAAAUCAAGAUAAACUAGUCUAAUAAAAUAAAGAUAAACACUCAUACAUUUUAAACAUUCAUGUUUCUAUUUUACUGCAUAUUCAGUUUUGUUCUCCAUGAAAUAUGCUAACAUUUCGGACUUUUAAACGUAAGGGUCCGUUUGAUAGCAAAGAUAAAAUUGAAUUGAAUUGAAAACGAAUUUCAGGGAAUUGAAUUGCCUAGAAAUUGUUUUUCUGUGAAUUGUAAAUUAUUGUGUUUGAUUGGUAUAAUUUUUCAAGUGGAAAAUAUUGAAAUAAAAGUGUUUUUUGGUGUUCGUUUGGCUUUGUUUUACAUAAAAAUUGUCAAUUAAAAAUAUAAAUUUUACUGGUAUUGGAAAUGAAAUUUGUUUUCAUUGUCAAAAAAAAAAAAAAUCAAGAAAAUCAUCUAUCUUUUGGUGUUCGUUUGAAUUUGUUUUACAUGAAAAUUAUCAAUCAAAGGAAAAUAUUUUUUUUUACAAUAAUUUUUAAAAUUUGUUUCCACUGCCAAGAAAAUAAAAAAUUAAAAAAAAAUGUGAACAUUAACUUCCCACGAAAGCAAGAAAAUUGUACUUCCCAAUAAAACCAAGAAUCUAAAUUCCAUGGAAAAUUAAACCCUAUUAAACAACUAAAAGUUCCAUGGAAAAAAUUAACCAAUCAAAUAUACCCUAAGAUCAUCUAACGUCUUGAACUUUGAAGCACACAAUUACCAAUUACAAUUGCCAUCAAUGCAUGCUAGCUUCAAGAAACUCGCACUUGAUUUCUUCACAUUCAAUUCGAAUUUCUUUGUAAGAGAAAACGUGUAUUUUCCUAUUUUAAGUCCUCCUUAUGGGAAAAAUAUCGUCCAAUUAUAUGUUCGACAACCCAAUCAAUUGUAAGUAGGGCAGUGACUGAAAUCCCAACAUUAAAGAGGCUGCCCAUGAGCGCAUUCCCAACAUUAGCGUUUGGGACAUUUGGUGAUUGUUUUUUGUUGAAGCAAUUGUAGGAGAUGUGAUGUAUGUCCCCCAGUUUGAUGUUGCCCUCAACCGCAUUCUCAUCAAUUUAUGGGCACGACCGUGGGCAGAUAAAGAACGAGUCUUUUAUCGAGUUGCCAUAACUAUAUAAAAUAUAGAUGGAGUAUUUUUAUAUUCAAGUAUCUCAAGUUGCGUGUUUUAAUACUAUAUCCAAAUUAUAAAAUCUCCUCCCUUUUAUAGUGGACAUCUUAAACCCCCGUACUAACAAGAAUAAAUUUAAUUAAAGUGUAAGUUAAAAUGUAUAAUUAUGGCUUUUAAUUUUCUAUUUAAUCUGAAUAUUAUAAUAAAGAAAAACUGAAAAUUAAAAUCAAUUUCAAGUUUUCAAAAUUUAAAACUUAAGUUACAACCAUAAAUUUCAAAGUAGUGGUCGUACCUGAGAAAAACAAAAAACUGAAAAUUAAAAAUAAAAACCUUUUAAUCAGAUAUUUGAUUAGGGAUGGAUAAAACUCUCUAACCGAAUCAGACCGAACGGACCUGAAUCGAGUAGUUUUUCUUAAGUUAAAUAUCCAAAUGAGUAUCUAAAUCAAGAACAAACGAUUUUAGUUUGAUUCUCGGUUCAAGAUGAAGAACCAAAUAAUUGAAUAAGAACCGAAUUUCUCUAAUUUUUUUUUUACCUUUUUUUUUUUU
Molecule: long non-coding RNA, 55103 nt
Filed under: Olea europaea (common olive)
Lineage: Eukaryota; Viridiplantae; Streptophyta; Magnoliopsida; Lamiales; Oleaceae
Description: long non-coding RNA (OEUR_LNC004248)
Source: RNAcentral